Molecule: long non-coding RNA, 49764 nt
Filed under: Lactuca sativa (garden lettuce)
Lineage: Eukaryota; Viridiplantae; Streptophyta; Magnoliopsida; Asterales; Asteraceae
Description: long non-coding RNA (LSAT_LNC005327)
Source: RNAcentral
AGGGUUUUGUCAAUCUGAAGCAUCCAAAUAGAGUGUGUAAGCUUGAGAAGUCCAUUUAUGGACUUAAGCAAGCGUCUCGCAGAUGGAAUCUUUGCUUCGAUGAGAAAGUCAAAGAGUUUGGAUUUGUACGAAGCGAAGAUGAAUCAUGUGUAUAUGUCAAAGCCAGUGGGAGUAUAGUAAGCUUCCUCGUUCUAUAUGUCGAUGACAUAUUACUCAUAGGAAACGACAUCCCGACUCUGCAGGAGGUUAAGUCCUGGCUCGGGAAGUGCUUCGCUAUGAAGGACCUCGGAGAGGCUUCUUACAUUUUGGGAAUAAGGAUAGUAAGAGAAAGAAGUAAGAGACUAAUUGGACUUAGUCAAAAUACUUACUUAGAGAAGGUACUAAAACGUUUUAGUAUGGAAAACUCAAAGAAGGGAGAAUUACCGAUACAAAGCAAUGCUAAGUUGAGUAAGACUCAAAGUCCGAGUACCGAAGCUGAAAUAGCAGAAAUGAGACGAGUUCCAUACGCUUCCACAGUUGGCUCAAUCAUAUAUGCUAUGACUUUUACUUGCCCUGAUGUAACCUUUGCUUUGAGCAUGGUUAGUAGAUAUCAACGGAACCCUGGCAGAGCCCAUUAGAUUGCGGUCAAGAAUAUCCUUCAGUACCUUCGGAGGAUGAAGGAAUGGUUCUUAGUCCUCGGAGGGAGUGAUGACUUGAAGGUGCGAGGGUAUAGUGACGCCAGCUUUCAGACCGACAGGGACAACUACCGUUCGCAGUCGGGCUGGGUCUUUACCCUAAAUGGAGGAGCAGUAACAUGGAAGAGUUCCAAGCAGGAAACCGUAGCUGAUUCAACGUGCGAAUCAGAGUACAUUGCAGCGAGCGAAGCGUCGAAGGAGGCAAUAUGGCUAAAGAACUUCAUCGGUGAUCUUGGAGUUGUACCUGCCAUAAAAGAGCCAAUGGAGAUUUUCUGUGAUAACGAAGGCGCGGUUGCCUUGACCAAGGAACCGAGGGAUCAUGGUAGAUCAAGACAUAUCGACAGAAAAUAUCACUUCAUCAGACAUCGUGUAGAAGAAGGACAACUCGUAGUGAAGAGGAUAUCAUCAGAAGAUAACCCAGCAGAUCCGCUUACGAAGGGACUGAGUAGGGUUAAGCACUUGCAGCAUGCUAGGAGUAUUGGGCUGAAGGAUGAUAUUAGCAUAGAUUAGAUAGUAUUAGAAACGUGUAAUAGAUAAAUGUAAUUAACAUUUGAUGAUUAAAUAAAGGAGUUUUAUUUAUGAGUAAUGUUACUAUCUUAUGUUAAUUGUUUAGCUAUUGUUUCACUUUGCAUGUUUUGACUUCCAGAAUAAUUGAGUUUAUUAGGAAUAAUCGAAUUGUUCAAAUUGUCCACAAUCGUUCAUAUGUUGGAAGUAGAUAUGAAUGAAGAUUGUCAUGAAUUGGUGUGUAGAUUGUCUAAAUGGUGUUAGACAUAGCAAAGGGUUGCUGCAACGUUCAUGAGUGCUUAUGAACUAGUUUUGAGCAUUGGAACAAACCCGCGCUUGCUGGAAUCACCUUAUGGAAUAUGAUAUAAAAGGUGAUCGCAAGACGAUAAUAUCAUAUAGUCUUAAAACCUAGAUAUAUGGUUUAUUAUUUGUUAAUUGAUUGUACAUUGAUAAUACGAAAACGCAUCAGUAACUUGGUGUUAUAAAACGUAUUGUUGUGUAUAGUUGGUUAAUGAAUAAGUAAAUGCAUAUAAGUCGAAGUUUAUCUGUUACUUUUAUCCUAAGAGGGUAAAAGCGAUAUCUCGGCCGCUCGAUGAUUUGAUUUGACUUAUGUGCCGGGCCCGGUCAGAACUGAAUUGAUGUGUUCGAUUAAGUUCUAUGUCAAAUAAAUCGGAGAUCGAGAAACCAAAUGCUAGACAAAUUGGUUCCAUAGAAUUGUUAGCAUGAUAUCUAAACAGAGGACUGUACGAUCCCUUAUCUGAAGGACAAGAUUGAUUAGAUCAGAGUUUGACAGCGUCUAUGAGAGCUACCAUAGCUAAUCGGAUUAUACUUGUGUAUAUAGUUACUAGACAUAUCCAAGUGGGAGACUGUUGGAAUAGUGUCUAAGGCUGCAACUAUAUUAGGCAAGUAUUUGACCCGGUUGUGCAUGGUCCUUUUGGGUUGCCUUCACCAUAGCAACUUGACAGGAUGAUUUAUUAUGAGAGAAGAAAUAUUAUUAAUAUAUUAUGAGAAUAAUAUAAGGAAUAAUAAUAUUAUUCUUUGAUUAAUAUAAGUCAUAAAUUAAUUAGGAAUUAAUUUGGUGACUUAGAGAUUAAUUGAAUAAAGGGGCAUAAACUGUCAAUUGUAUGGUAAAUGUACUUUGGGCUAUAAAUCCCUUAUGGAUAAAGGGGGACGGUUUUAAGGACUAUGGAUAGGCCUUGAAAUCGUCUAAAGGCUUAUCAAUUAGGGUAUUGGAUUGCUUAGGGCCUAAGUUAUCCAAUUAGGGUUUAAGGGUGAAACCCUAGGAGCCUUACUAGUAUAAAUAGACCCAUGGGGUCAAGGAAAUCGNAUCCCCUCUCCUCUCUCUCAAAUCAUCCUCUUGCUAGUUGGUGUUUGUAAGCCAUUAGAGGAGUGACAAUUGUGACUCUAAAGCUCUAAGGACAAGAAGAUCAAGCAAGUGAUUCAAGGUAAACUUCUAAUUCUGAUUUCUUAUUGUUAUUAUACUCUAUUAGGCAUUAGAAGUCUUGGAUUCAAUGUAUGUUCAAUUAGAGAAACCUAGAUCCAAGCAUUAGGGUUUGCAUGCGCACAUAGCAAUGUUUAUAUGGCUAAAACCCAUCAUAUUAAGGGUACCAAGUCAAUUUGCAUGGUUAUUCACAUCUUUUUUGUGAUCCUCGACAUCCUAGUCACAAACUUGACAGGGCACAAUCGAGAUUUAAACAUGCCAUUGAAUAGUUCAAUGAAUCUCAAAAGAUCUAGGAGUUUCAGAUUCACUUAAGACCUAAAAUUCUUUUUCGUUUUUCGUGGUGGAAAUUUGUAAAUCGUCAUUUACCUACCUUCAAAUAUUUUAUAGCUUGGAUUAUGACAUCCCUCUUCCAAGUUAUAAAACAUUGUGUUGGGUCCUAGCCUUAAUAUUUCAUAUUGGGUGUUAUAUUAAGGAUUUAAAUCAACUAACUUGAAUUUCUCCCAUUGUCGAUAUCUGGUUAAGACAAUUAUGAUCUUCCCAAAUCCCUUGAAACAAGCUUUCCUGAUGAAGAUGAUGUCCCGCGAUUGGAUCAUGAAAAUCAUACUUCUUUUCCUCCACUUUCUCCAAUUAUUCUCCCUAUCCCAGAAGUUCACGGUCACUCAAUCUCUAUUGGCAAGAAGUGUCUAUGUGUACUCACAUCUUGGAGAUUAAGUCACAUAUUGAAAAUCCGGGAGAGUUGGGUGUCAAAGUCUUGAGGAAGUUGGUUGUUGACUAGGUCCUUUAAUCACUUCCUAAGUCACAUAGUGAGUUCCUUUAAGACUACUAUAUGACAGACCAUGACAUGACCCUUAAUAAUCUUCCCUAUUUGCUUGUUGUUGCUGAAUCAGCAAUGAUUUGGAGCACUGGUAAAACCAAUUUGAUUGGAAGAUCUACUUCCUAAACCUAUAUGGACAUGGACAAUGGUAACAUUAGAAAUCCAGAAAAGUUUUCUCUUCCCAAUGGAAAGGGAUCGACCAUAGUCAAACCGGUUGACCAAAUGGUAAAGAGAAAGUCUAAGUCUAAGAUAGUCUCGUGUACCAUUACUAAAGAGUCCAUAUGUUUCUAUUGCCAAAGGAUGGGACAUUGGUUGCGAAGAUGCCUUAUUUACCUGAAAGAUCAUAAAGAUCGUAAAGUCAAAGUGUUUGACCAUGCUUCAGAUAAAGUCCACUACCUAACUCUAUUAAGUUCUUAUUUGGAGAUUCUUAUUACAAGAUGUGACUAGGUCACAUUUUGAUGUUUUCUAGAAUCAAAGAAAAGAGAGGAAGCUUAAAGGAAGAGUAAGUUGAUUUUGAUCACGAAGAGAUGGAUUUCGAUCGCAUGGUUCGAUUAUCAGAAUUUUAGCUGUUGCUUAAAGAGUUGUGAUAGAUUGCUUAGGAAUUCAUAACAACAUAGUUUUUCAUAUGCAUUUUCAUUGUAAAGAAAAUUUUUUACGCAAGUUUUAAAAUAAAAGAAAAUUUUUGAUUUUAUAUAUUUUAAUUAACCUUACAAUGGCAUUUGUGAAAAAUUGUUGUUUAUAUGUUUCCAUUGAAAGCAAUAUUGGAAAAUAGAUUUGAUUCUUUCAUUUGUGGUAGUGUCAUAAUUUACCAAAUAAGGAACGAUUCUCAUCACACAAGUUUUAGUUGGAUAGAAACUUGAAAUCAUGCAACUUGUAUUGUAUGAUGAAUGAGAAUUUUCAUUUUUGGGAAAUUAAGACUAUUUCCUUGUGCACAUANNNNAGGAUAUAUAUAUAUAUAUAUGUAUAUAUAUAUAUAUAUAUAUAUAUAUAUAUAUAUAUGUGAGUCAAGUGAAGGACUAGGAGAUCAGGUACACUUGGUUGUGCGCUGGUCAGGUCCACCAUAAAGAUCAAUUAGGCUAUUUGUCAUGAUUUACUAAAUUUUAGUGAAUAUGGUUAUACUUACAAGUUUAAGUGUAAUUCUGGUACAUUGGAAAAGUUUCAAUGUAAGGCAGAACGAAUAAGAAGAAUCAAAUUAGGUAGAAAGAUAAAAGUUGCUCCAAUCUGAAAAGAUGGGAGAGUACUUGAGUAUCUUGUUUUAUGAUUAUCUUAGUGAUUAUGAAACCAUAUCACAAUGGAUUCUCUAAGGACAUCUUAGUGCAUUUGUUUGAAUAACAAGACGAAUCGUGAUUUUUUGAAUUGGUUAAAUAAAAAAGAUAAGUCAUACUUCGUUCCAAAAUUGAGUCUUAGAGUAAUACUCCAAGUUUGUAACUAGAGUGACAUAAUCUUGAGAAUGUUUAUAACACUUGUCAAAUGUAGAGUAAAAUGUUUUCAUACUUUUGUACAAUUGAAAUUGGCAAGUUGUGAUCUAAGACAAAGACCAACUGUGACCAAUUGUGUGAAGUGUUUGUCUUGAUAAAGAAUCCGCACUAACUCAUGAAUAUUUGUUUGUCACGGAACGAUUCUUGACAAGAGAGUCUUAUAUGUCAAGAGGACAGUGAGAGUCUUACAGGUCUUAAAAGUCUCAAAAACUAAUCAAGGUUGAAACCUAUUGCUUAUCACCAACACACAACUUGAGGUUUGCAACCUAUCGUGUUGACACAUUCUUGUUUUUGUGCCCAUUCGAGUUAAAGUUUAUUAUACAUAUGAGUUCUAUGAGUUCUCUAUUGUUUUCAUAACAACCUAGAAGCAAUGGUAGGCCCUUGUGCUGCCAGGUGGCAAGAAGUUAAGACUACACAAGUUCAGUCCAUAUGAGUUUGGAUUUGUCACUAACCUUGUCUUGUUAUUAUGGUUAUGACAAAUUUACAUGGAUAGGAACACAUACACCAUAAAAUCUAAGUGUCAUAAGGUUUCUCUCUGAUUCAUGAAAAUGAUGGUGAGGAAACGCUUUCACUAAGUAGAUAGCAAUUAUGAUAUUUUCAUUCUCAAAGUCGUUAGUGGAGCGUGUAUGGUUAACCAGCACAUUAACAUGGACUUUUAAGAAAUUAGAAAGGUCUAAACAAUUGAGACUAUGAUUACAGCAUCCCUUUGCACAGCUCUAAAAAUUGUUUAGACACACGUGUCAGCUAUCGAAGGAAAGGUGUAUGAUUUUGAUAAAGUUUUAUCAAAUCAUCUCGUAUCAGAAAUCUGAAGUUUGGUAAGAAAGUCAAUAAAGUAUUAAUUUCUAGAAGUCCAACUGAUUUUUGGANUACAUGUCAGGCUAGUGGGAGCAUAAGUGUUAUGCUAGUAGGAUAAUAAUUAUUAUGCUAGUGGGAGCAUAAUUAGUUAUAGUAAAUAUUGCAAGUGAGCAAUGUUAAUUAUAGAAAACAAAAAUUUAAUUCGUGAAGUUGCAAGGGUUGAAAAGGUUGUUUUGCUAUAAUUAAGGGAGAGGAAACUAUACUUCAGUUCAAUUCUAAAAGCUUAGAUUGUCAGAUUUUGAUCAAAUUUAGUCAUGAUUACAUUAUUAGCGUUCUAAAAUUCGAUUAUGAUUACGACAUCCUUUUUCAUAUUCUGUAUUAUGAGAACAUGACAAAUAGAAAUAGAAAUAUUAUAGCAAAAGAAUGGUAUAGUAUCAUGUGUUAAUGUGAGACAUCAUGAAUCGUGUCCCAUAUGCUUCGGAAAUAGGAUCGAUUACAUGUGCUGUAAUAUUCAUCUGUUCAAAAUUUUUCCAAAUGCCUAGGGCAUUAAGAGGGAAAAAGUACUAGAACUGGAUAUGACUAAAAUGAUUAAGAAAUUGUCGAGGACAAUCUGAGGUUUACCAAAGAUUGGUUGCUCAUGGACAAUUGGAAGUAUAAUGUUAAUUUUGGCAAGACAAUACUUACAUAUUCUGAAAGGAGGCAACUCUUGUUCAGAAGUGAUAGUCAAAAUGGAAUGUGGAAAUGCUUUCAUAGGUGGAAGUUAUUCUUUAAAUCUGUGUAAGAUUAGAAAACUUAAUGCAAGAAGGAUGUUCAAAGGAAUGUACUUUGAAUUAGAGACCUCGUUUCCUUGGAUUUGCUCUCUAUUGGAAUGCUUUGUGAUGUCUGUUGCCAAGUCUUUGUGACUUUUAUGCAAAGUCAUUACAAGAGGAUCAUUGCAUAUAAGUUUAGAAUAUAAGAAAUUACAGUAAAUGGAAAUAUUUUGGUAUUUUUACAUUUGUAGGAAGGAUUUGGGAUUGUAAAUUAAGCAUCAUUGAAAUUAUGUUCAAUUGGUCUAUUUCACAAAGUAAGGAUCAUAGACAAACAUAGUGUGCAUACUUGGAGUAUGACAUAGCUAUUGUUUGGACAAACAUAGUGUGCAUGCUUGGAGCAUGACAUGACUAUUGUUUUAAAUCAAGUAUUAGGUUGAUAAAUCUAAACAUUAUACAAUGAAUAAUGUGUAAUCAAUAUGGUGAUAAAUAAAAGGCGUUUUAUUUAUAUUCAUAAGUUCUAAGACCUUAUUUGAUUCGAUUAUUCUUGUGUUUCAAUUUGCAUGUUUUGACUUCCAGAAUUACUAGGUUAUUCUUCCCGAAUGACUAAGUUAUUCAAACCAUUCACAGUCGAUAAUACGUUAGAAGUAGGUAUUAAGGCAAGUCUGUCAUGAAUUGGGUUUGUAGAUGUCUAAAGUGUUUAAACAUAGCAAAAGUUGUUGCAACAUUCAUGAGUGCUCCUAGAAUGAGAUUCGAGUAAUGGAUUAAACCCAUGCUCAUUUGACUCACUUCAUUGAUUUUAUCACGAGUGAUCAUGAGAUGAUAAUAUCUUGUAUUCUUCAAACCAAGAGAUAUGAGUUGCAGUCUACAAGUUGGUUACACAUUGAUUAUGUGAAAAAGCAGGCAGUAACUUGGUGUUAUAAAACACAUUUUUGUGUGUGAUUUGGUGCGUAUAUAGAGCAAGAAUAUAAGUCGAAGUUUAUCAAUUCCUUAUACCCUUGGAGGGAUAAAAGCAAUAUAUGUGGGCCCCUCGAUGAUUUAGUGAUGGAAAACGUAAGUGCUCGGCCAGGCCUGAACUAAUUUGAUUUGUUCAAUUAGUCAGUCGUCAUAAAUCGGAAAUCGGGAAACAACAAAUGGACAGAGAGAAUGAUUAUAAUCCAUGUCUCAGUCCAUAUGAUAUUUAGAAUAGAGGAAUAUAUGAUCCCUUAUCUAAUGGACAAGUCAUUGACUAGGUCUGAGUUCGAUAAUAGUUUUUAAGAGCUACGAUUGCUAGUCGGGUUUUGGAGUCAUACUUGCAAUAAUAGUUUUAGACUUAUCCAAGUGGGAGACUGUUGGAUUAGAUGUCUACGCCCAUAACUAUUAUUGGUAUGUACUCGACCCGAGAGUAGCAUGGUCCAUUUGGGUUGCAUAACACCAGGACAAUUUCUUAGGAUGGACUCUUGAGAGAAGGUUAUAUAUGAUUUAUUAAUAUAUUAUAAGUUCUAAUAUAUAAAUAUGAAAUCAUAUGUUUUAAUUAGUAUUGGUUAAGAAUUAAUUUGGAAUUAAUUUAGUAAUCAAAAGGAGACUAAUUAAAUCUAUGGGGAUUAAUUAUGGUAAUUAGUUAUAUUUAUAUGGGUUGGGCUUAUGAUCCAUGUUGGACCAAGUUUGUAUAUGGAUACACAAAGAGUUGGGCCACAUAAACCAUGGAUCAUAAAACCCAUGGGUAUGGAUUUGGGUUAUACCCAUGACCCUUGAAAUCCCACAUAUAAAUAUGUAGUGCAUUGCCCAAAAAUGCCACUUUUAGUUCAAAGGUUGGAUCAUAUUAUCCACCAACCUAUAAUACCCCAGCUUGAACGACAAACGUCUUGAGACCAUUCUACGAACUUACUUCUACUCUUUAGUAGGACUGCAUCAUAGGGAUGUAGGUCGAACCCAUGAGAAAAUAUUCCUAUUCUUUACAUGAACGAUCGAAGUACAUCUAGGUUCAACCAUACUCACUCACAAAUUCAUUUUCUUUCCGUGUAACAGAAUCAUGUCGCCGAAGAAAAGUGAUCAACCCAUCAACCAAACACCAACUCUUCAGAUUGAUGCAGCUACCUUUGAUGUUGCAGUAUCAGUUGUCGUGACAGCUGUUCUGACUCACCUUAACGCUCACAAUGCGAAUGUUAGCGGGAUUGUUAACAAUAAUUCCAAUCCAAGUAACAAUCAAGUACCUCAACGAGUAACAAACUACCACGACACCCCGAAUCUCAAGCCCAAGAAUAAUAAACGAAAGUUCUAGGCUAAAUUUAAAGGCAAAUCACCCCACGGGGAGAGCAAAAGACAACAACAUGUGGCAGCCUUCGCAGCCACGGCAUUUUUACCUCCUACUACCAUCCCUUCUGGUAUCCCAAUUGCCCCUAACCCAGCCAAACAGUAUGCCGGAAACCUACCGAAAUGCAAUAAAUGCAGCUUUCGUCAUCUAGGUAGUUGUCGUCUGUUACACUGCUAUAAAUGCAACAAGAACGGACAUACUACCAGCUACUGCAGGACUCGGAUCCAACACAUUACUUCAACCACCAAUGUCGAAAUCUCUCGAAUAUGCCAUCUAUGUGGCGUAAUGGGACACUUCAAGAGGGACUGCCCAACAGAGAAGAACGACGGUGGAACAGGAGGAGUUUGACCUCAUAAUGGAAAAAGGAAAUGAAGGACCCUACUAUAGUAUAGGUUCACUUCAAAUCGUCAGUAUUAAGUAUGCUUUUAGAUUGUUUAAAACUAGUUCAAUUCGAGUCUUAUCUUUUGCAAGAUCCCGUCAGUAAAGGGACCCUCGUGUUGCGUAUACUUGCCUUUUGUAGUAUACCUUGUUCGCAGCAAUAGUCUUGUAGUAAAUCUCAAGUACUGUAACUCUGUUAAAAGUUGCACUGUUAUGUUUUGUCUAUAACGCCUUUAUGUUCAAAAUCUAAUGUCUUUACUUCCAAGUAAGUCCGAUAUUAUCAUACAACUUGAGUCAAUUCGAUCCGCACAAUACCAGUAUCGUGCACACAUCUCUUUCUCCGGAAUCGCCUUUCUAGCGAAACCAUCAUUCCAGAUCACCGAAGUACUCAUGCAUAGAGUACCUCAUAUUUCUUAUCCUUUCCGAAGAAAACUCAGCAAACCUCCCCGGAGUACCACUCGUACAGUACGUCAGUUCAAACCAAGGACCUUUACGGUUGAUCUAUCACUAAAGAAUGUAUACACAGGGGUGGUAUAUAAUCAAGGUUCUACAGGUUUAGAAUUGAUGAUUCCACUUUAACUUAUUUUCCUCGUUGGGAUGUGAUCUUAAAGAAGAAUCAUUUAUUCGACUACCUUUUCAAUCUUAAUUAUAUACGACUCGUAUACACGAGACGGUGAUUGAUGAACCAUGUAUGACUUCUAAUAUGAACUUCAGGAUGAAGACUGUCCAAGACUACGAGUAAUCGCAUUGCCAUGCAAACGAACUUAGAACCCAAUACGGCUCCUGUAACCAGAUCGCCCUACGGUCUAACGCCCACGGAGAUAUAAGAACCAUCCGGACCACUUAACGGCCUACUCAUCAAUGGACUGAAAAGACCAAGCUUCCCACCCUGGAGAGCUCCGAUCUUGUUCUUUAAGAUGAAAGACAAAUUGUUUCGUAGGUCCAUCGACUUUAGAGACCUCGAAAAGAUUUCCAUUAGAAAUCAUUACCCUCUGGCUCGCAUAGAAGAAUUGGUUGACCAACCGCAAGGAACUAUUUACCUUUCAAAAAUAGACCUGAGAUUCGAAUAUCACCAGUUACGUGUGUUAAUGAAGGAUGCCCCGAUGACAAUAUUCCAAACUCGAUACGGACACUACGAGCCCGUAGUGAUACCCCUCGGAUAAGACCAAUAUGGCCGUAGUAUUCAUGAACUUAAAUGAAUAGGGUACGACAUUCUUACAUGGAUCAGUUUGUCAUCCUCCUUAUAGAGGACCUACUUAUCUACUCACGUAGUAAGAAAGAGCAAAGAAACAUCAACAACUCAACUUACCCCGCGAAAUCAGUAACGUACAUUUUACCUUUCACAUCUCGAACUUGAAAGUGUACCUUUUCGUCAGGACUCUUGUAAUCCCACUCGACGAGAUCGAGAUCAACAAGAACCUCACCUUCGUGAAAGAACCGUAGUGACCAUGGACCGAGAGGUCAGGCGAACAAAGCAAAGAUGCUUCCUAUUAGUAAAGGUUCACUGGAAUGCCAACCGAGGACCUGAAUUCACUUGGGAGCAUGAGAAUCAAUCGAUUAGGAAGUAUCCCCACUUCUUUACUCGAUUAUUCAUACUUACUCCGUUACCUAAAUUCUAAUUUCGGAACAAAAUUCCCUCUAACUGGGGGAUGAUGUGACAACCCAAAAAAUUUCUAUCAUGUAUAGUCAAGCACUUCAUUAAAAGUCAAACUCAUUUCUGUUAUCUUUUAGCACAAUUAGGAGUUUAUUUGAGCGUUCUGAGCGUUGUACACUUAAGGGAUAAGUGUUGGGGUUUAUCUGUUGAACUUAUAGCUCAAAGAAACAACUUUAAACACCUUUACAAGGAGUUCGCGACCACCACAUGGGAGUUUAUGGCCAUAAAAUCCAUGUGGGCCGUAAAAUCCACCUUAUAUGAUGAAAGGGUGGCCAUUAGUUCAUUCAUUUCCUCCUAUUGGCCGAAAUCCUCUCAAGUAUCAUCCUAAUCUUCGUCCCUGAUCUUCAAAUCUUGUAAGUUCCUUUUCCUAACUAGUUGAUAUCUUACAUGAACUGGUGAUCUUACAUGAUUUCAUCCGUGAAAUCAUUCUAUUCGUGUAGAUCUUCAAGUUUCACCAAGAACACCAAGAACACACACUAGUGUUAUUGACCAAAAAUGACCAUUCAAGCUCCUAGAUCGUAAGUACUCUUGGUCUAACUCGUUGUACACUAGGUUUAACAUGUUUAGAGCCUAGAUAUCAUAAAGAAACAUAUGAUCCAAGUAGUGUAUGGCCAAGAUAUGUUCUUGGGCCGUAAACCCCUAUAAGUGGUGCAAAUGGCACCCUAACACCUUACCAAGCCUUGGAACUUAGUAUAGAACCAUACACCAUUGAACUAGGGACUUCAAUGUAACAGCCCAAAAUCUCAAGUAUUGUUAAGUGGCAUUUUGGGGGUGUUUUAAAGGAGAGACUCGACGAGUUGGAGCCAGACUCGCCGAGUAGGGUCGCAGGUUUGGUCGCGGGUUCACGACUGGACUCGACGAGUCCAGGUAUGGACUCGGCGAGUCGACGCUGUUCAGUGGAAAACCCUAGCCGUUCAGUUUGGGACGUAUAUAAGGGAUCUUAUGCCUCCAUUGUUCGCCUUUUUGGCCGACUGAGAAGGACCCUAAAUCGGUUGUGGGCAUCCAGAACAAGGAUUGAAGAUCAUUGGUGAUUUGAGGAAGUUAUUGUCCAAGAAGGAGAAGGUUUUGGCUAAUGGGACAGCAAGGGAAUCACGUUUUGAGGCUUGGGGACACUGAGAGUGCAUGAUUCAGGUAACCUUUCGGAUUAUUUUCUGUUAUGUGAAUGUGUGCAUGGAUUUAGGGUUUGUGAAACCCAUUUGGAGAUUAGAUGGAUUGUUGUGUUGUUAUCCAACGUUUAUAACCCUGUAUUAGUACCCCUUAGAGGUCCAGAAGGUCCUAUGUUUGUAUAUUCGGGAAAAUAUGUAUCUCAGGAAGCAGUUUGAUCGACUGCAUGGCGUGGACUCGCCGAGUCGGAUGAUCAGACUCGGCGAGUAGCUUGAAGAUUCACUGGGACUCGCCGAGUUGUUCUUCAGACUCGGCGAGUGGAGUCGGGGUGGCCCCGCGAUUCUUCCAGGAGUGACUCGUCGAGUCAAAGAGGAUACUCGACGAGUAGAAGGGGAAUCUUAGAGGAUUGAAGGACGACCAGACUCGCCGAGUCGCCAGGGAACUCGCCGAGUCCAGUCGAGCUGACAAUGGACUGUUGACCAGAGUUGACUGGUGUGAUUUCUUAGGGUCAGUUAACGUGGAAGAUAGAAGUAUUAAUAAGGGAUAUAUGAUGUUACAGGGAGCUUGUAGCUCGGAGGAUCAAGUGCAAGGGAUUUUAGGAGUUGCUAUCUUCCAGUGUCCGCGAGGUGAGUCUUCUCACUAUACCUCACCCGGAAGGGUUUGAUUGUGUGACCGGAAGGUCAAGUAUGUUAUGUGUUAUGUUUAUAUGCUAUAAAUGGAAAGUUAGCUGCUACGCGUGAUAUACAUGCUUAUAUAUGGGCCGGAAGGCAAGGUAUUAUGUGACAGAAAGGUCAAGGAUGAUAUAUGAUAUAUGUGCUUUAUGUGUUAGAGUAUUUGUAUUAUGUGUUAUAUAUGUGUAUGGGCCGGAAGGCAAUUAUCUUAUGGGCCGGAAGGCGAUAUAUAUUGUGGACCGAAAGGUCCGGGCCGGAAGGCAAUGUUAUGUGGACCGAAAGGUCCGGGCCGGAAGGCAAUGUUAUGUGGACCGAAAGGUCCGGGCCGGAAGGCAAUGUUAUGUGGACCGAAAGGUCCGGGCCGGAAGGCGUAUGUGCGUAAGGUAUAUUGGGGAACUCACUAAGCUUCGUGCUUACGUUGUUUAUGUUAUGUUGUUUCAGGUUCUUACAGUAACGCGGGAUGGCAACGGUUCGAUUGUACACACCGAAGAAAGAGUUGUGUUUUGGAGGAUCCUGGUCUUCUAUUAUAAUGAAAAUGAAACUAUGUUUUGUAAUUCGAAUGUGAAUAAGAUUUUAAACAAGUGUUUUUAAUAUUAAAUUGAUUAUUUAAAUGAAAAUUUUGUUUUUGGAAAUCUCGGUGUUACAAAUUGGUAUCAGAGCCUUGGUUUGAGGGAUUCGGACGCGCCUACGGGUAAAUCUGGACUCAAACUGAGGAAGUAAGAAAAAGUUUUCCAAAUAAAUGGUUUUCUAAAAGUGAAUAAGAGUUCAAAGAGAAAGCAAGAAAGAGCAGUGUGUACAAUCAGCCAGAGCCAAACGGUGAUUUCCCAAAAUACCCUUACUUUUGUAUUAUGAAAUAUCUAUUAUGCACUUUAUGAGACAUUAUUGCAUGCUAGAGACAGGCUAGGUAUUUCACAUCUUAGGACUAGAGUGGCCUGAUUUGUGAUGCCUUAGUCUAGGGUUUGCUGUUAUAUGUGCGUUAUGCUUUUGUGUGUAUGUGAUGAGUGAGAGUAUCUAGUUAGAACGCACAAGGGGUAAAGCUACGGGGUACAGAGGUACUUCCGAGGAUGAGCCGAGAAGGUGGAGCUACCACAGAUGGGGAGUCCUAUGUAUGCUUCAAUGCUCGAAUGCUGCUUGCUUUGUGCUUUGUGGAGUUAUCGAUGAUGGGAGUCAGCUACUAAGUGAGUAUGACGAUACUCAGGAGGUAGAGGGCUGGCAUCAUUAGGAACUCUUCAGCAGCUGAUAGCAAAGAAGUGGGAGGACAGCGGAAGGGACUAGGGAGUAAACCUAGCCAGAUGAGUGCGCUGGUAGAGUAGAGGAUUUCGCUGGAAAGCGAGCACGCGCGAUGAGAUGGGUGAAAGAGCAGGUUUAUCAGCUACUUAGGAACUCUGGGAUGGUCCGUGUGGAAAGUAUGGGUAGAUGUGACAGGUAGUAUGGGCCCGUACUACUGAAAGCAGAGGACCCAUACUUGAUACAGGGGGCAUCCUAAAGGUCCUAAGGAACAGAUUGAGGGGUGAUGUUAUGGUUCGGAUACCAUACAUCGGAGCGGAUACAGAGUGAUGUUAUGGUCCGGGCACCAUACAUCGGAACAGAUUGAGAUAGAUGUUGUGGUCCGAGUGCUAUACAUUGGAGCAGAUUGAGGAGUGGUGCUAUGGUUCAGGUACCAUACACCGAAGCAUGUUGAGGAGGGAUGUCAUGGGAUGAGUACCAUGGUUCGUAGUGGAUGAUGCUUGUGGCUAUCUUGUUAUCCGGUUAUGACCGAUGAGGUAGAGAUUGGACGCUAUGGGUUUCAGGCCUGUAGACCAUGAUUGAGUACGGAGAGGCGUUCCUCGAGGGGAAAGACAAGUGCCUAUCAGAGUAUUUUGGUAAGAGUCAAAGACAGGGGAGAAUUUCAGUUGAGUCGAGCAAUCAGACGACAGAGGAGAGGUCACCUUUUUGGGUGGGUAGUGUCAUUUAUGCUCGUGUGCAAGACGCGAGAGGUCUGGUGUUUCAGUUCUGGAUUUGGGAGUACACCCUGCAGGUAGUUAUCGAUAAUGACUUCCCUCAGAGCAUCAGGUAGCGGGUGUACCGCGAGACAGAGAUUUACCGUGAACAGACAGUCAGUUGGGGCUGAGGUAGUCGAGAACCACACCACACCUAAUUGAGAAUAACAGGUUGGGUUAUAGUGGUAGCAGUGAAGAGUUCAGACGAGUUUUGCAGUGCGGAGAGUUGUCGUCUAUGUUGAGAGUAAGUCCCUGUCCUUGGGACAAAUCCGGCGUUGGAUACGGGUUGAUGAGCUGAGAUGAGAGGAACGAUGAUGCUGCGGUGCAGUCUGCGAGCCAGAUAUGUUAUCGAGCAGUGCAGGUGCUUAGUAUUAGAUCAGUAUGGGAUUUGGAACGAUUAGAGGCAGCCGUGAUGAGAAGUUCUUGGAGAGUUAGCUAGAGGUUCAGAGUAUAGGGGAUUGAUUGACUUCAUAAGGGGAGGGACUAUCGGGUGUUGCACAGCACUUUUCUGGGGCAGGUACGAUUUCGCUGGUGAAAGAUAGUCGUGGGUUGAUUGUAUACUAAUUGGUGUUGGUUCGAACCUUAGUGGGGGAGAACCGGGUGCAGUAUGUAAGAAAGCAAGAAUUGUCAAGAGUAGUAAUAAGUGGAGUAUAGAGAUGCAGUAGGAAAUCAUGAGACCAUAGGUGUCGAUGAUCGAGUAAAAAGGGGUUACAUCGGAGCUUGCGGGUCCGGUGGUGCAUGCCGCAAGUGCGGAAAGGAGGGGCACUGUGCACGGGAUUGUUGGCAGUCAGUGCCAAUUCGGGAUUUGAGGAGGACAGGAUGAAGCGGAGCCCCAGAGGGCUCAGGGUCGUGUUUAUCUGCGUGCGACAGAGGGAGACGGAGCAGUGCCGGAGACAGCUGCGGGUAUGAUGCUUUCAUGAUGUCUUAAUUGUCUUGCAUUGAUUUGGCGUAUUGUUUGUGCUGGUAUCUUGUAUGGAUUUCGAUGCGGUAUUCGUUGUUUCGCGGGUCUGGCAUGGUUAUGGAUUGGUGCUUCAGGUUUUCGCUUUGGCAUUCGUUAUUCCCUGAUGGUUGGGUAUGGUUAUAAUUGGUGUUUUAGUGUCAGUAGUCUUGUGCGGUUUUCGAUGUGGUGUUCAUCCUUUGGGCAGAUUGUGAGUUUGGUUAUGGGUUAUUGUCGAGGAUUCCUUUGGUUAUCGUUCGUGGGGGUUGUUAGGGGAGAUGCGGCACUGGGUUGAUUGUCGGGUAGCAUCUACAGUCGUGGAGUGGAUGAUUGAAGGACUAGAUUCUUGUGAGUGGGUUGAUCAGGGAGGAGGUGUGUUUUGCUGAGGGUUGCUUGUGCUUGUGGGAAGCAGUCAGUGUGUAAUUGUUCUCUUUGUACAGGAUUGUUCUGUAAGGUCGUUAAUGACGAUCGGUGGCAGUUAGUCAGUGUUUUAGUGGGGGAGAAUUAGAAAAUUCUCCGGGAGAUCGAUGAGUAUGUGAGGGUGCUUAGCUGUUGGGAUUCAGCAGUGUUUGUCAGCGCAGAGUAUAGGCCGACGAGAGCGAGUGUCGGGUAUGCGGGGCGGGAUACAGACCUAGGACAUUUGACUGUGGAGGCCUGAGAGAAGGCCGGGAUCAAGCUUGAGUAAGUAACCGGGGUUAUGCGAUCAGAGUAUUGGUAUGUUGAGGUACGUGAUGGGUUGUACUGCGUUAAUCCCACGGGAUUUAUGUUGUGCAUGUUUCUAGAGUUGGAACCGGAAGGUUCCCAGAGUUCGAACCUGAGGGUUCGCAGAGUUGGGUGUACGGACCCACAGAGAUAUAGCCUCGAGUGGCUAGUAUGUGUUAUGAGAGUCGGUCCAGUCAUGCUGGAGACUCUGUUGGUAUUGCUGGAUCAGUUUGAGAUUACGGAUGGUGUAUGUGCAGUGUGAUUACAUUGGAAGGUCGGGCCCCGGGAUUGGUGAUCUUGUUUAGCUGAGGCAGUGAUCUUGAUGAGUGGAGAGAGUGCAUGAGAUUGAGAGCCCCUGCAAUGAGAACCAGAGUAUGUGGAUAGCGGUUACGCAAAAAGGGUGGUGUCGCUUGGGGCGAGCACCGUGGCACCGGUUGGAGUGGCAUUAUGGCCAAGAGGGUUCCUUGGAAAAAGGAAAAGAGGAAGGUGUGUAACUCCGAAGGGGUGCAAGUUCACGAAAGUGAAAGCUGCAGAGCAGAAUUAUGGUUAGAGUAUUUCAAGUAUGGUUUCGAGCAUCGUGUUUGCGGCAGUGAAGUAGGAACCCAUCCGGGUUGGGAUGACUGACGAGACUCAGAAAGGAUGCAAGGGAAUAGAGAAUCUUGAAUUCUCAGUGUGAUUCUGAUCAGGGUAUAGGACGGAUAUUAGUGGUUCGUCUUGGGAGAUGUUCGAGGAUAUCAUCAGUGAAUCGGGUUUUUCAACCUGCGAGUGUUGGGACUAGUUCAGUAUGUGUAUGUGAUGGCAAGAGGGAACUUGUGAGAGUUGAUCUGAGAGGGAGAACGGAUCUCUCAGUCGGUCCGGAAUGGGCAAAGUGGGCUUUGGAUCGGGGAUCCGGUGGUUCAGGGUUUCCUAACCCUUAUGGGUUGAGUGAUCGUUGAGAUUUGGAGCAGAGUGCAUCUUGGGUAAUUUCCGAUUACAGAGAGUGAUGAGCAGUUCAGAGUUCGUACUUUAGUUGACAAAGCAGACUCAGCAGGUUAAAGAGAGUUAGUGAUCGUCUAGAGUUAACAGGAAAGUUAUGCAGGCAGACGCCGUUACGAGCAUGUGAUUCAGGUCGGCGACUUCGUAUUUCUGACGGGGUGUUUCGAUUUAGGAAGAGGGGUAAAUGGGGGGCCCCGGUAUGUUGGGUCUUUUCGUGAAGGUGCGAAGGUAGGAAGGGUGGCCUAUCGUUUGGAGCUGUCAACGGAAUUGGGACGGAUCCAUGACACUUGUAUGUGUCGCAAUUGAAGAGGUGUAUAGCGGAUGAGUCAGCAGUGGUUCUACUAGAGAACGAUUAGGUGGAUGCGAGCCUGUGUUACGUCGAGAGGCCAGUGGCCGUCGGAGAUCGGAAGAUCAAGGUUCUGAGGAACAAGGAGGUACCUCUGGUAUUGGUUCAGUAGCGGCCUCGGGAGAGAUCGGUAGUGUCUAGGGAAGCCGAAACGUGAGAUGCGGGAGCAGCAGCCAGAACUAUUUUCAGAGUGAGACUUCGAGGGCGAAGUCUAAUUCUAGUGGGGGAGAAUUGUAACAGCCCAAAAUCUCAAGUAUUGUUAAGUUGCAUUUUGGGGGUGUUUUAAAGGGGAGACUCGACGAGUUGGAGCCAGACUCGCCGAGUAGGGUCGCAGGUUUGGUCGCGGGUUCACGACUGGACUCGACGAGUCCAGAUAUGGACUCGGCGAGUCGACGCUGUUCAGCGGAAACCCUAGCCGUUCAGUAUUGGGUCGUAUAUAAGGGUUAUUAUGCCGUCAUUUCACGACUUUGGAUCGAUUGGGAAGAACCCUAGGCGACUGGGGCGGCUAGAGCAAGUUUGAAGGCCAUUGGUGACCUUGAAGGAAUUGUUGUGCAAGGAGGAGAAGGGUUUUGGCUAAAGGAACUGCAGGGAGUUCGAGUUCUGAAGUUUGGGGACAUGGAAGGUGCAUCAUUCAGGUAAUAAUUCGGAUUACAUUCUCCUGUGAUUGAUGUGUAUAUAGAUUUAGGGUUUAUGGAACCCAUUUGGAGUCUAGAUGGAUUGUUGUGUUGUUAUUCAACGUUUAUAACCUUGUAUUAGGACCCUUAGAGGUCCAGAAGGUCCUAUGUUUGUAUAUUCGGGAAAAUAUGUAUCUCAGGAAGCAGUUUGAUCGACUGCAUGGCGUGGACUCGCCGAGUCGGAUGAUCAGACUCGGCGAGUAGCUUGAAGAUUCACUGGGACUCGCCGAGUUGUUCUUCAGACUCGGCGAGUGGAGUCGGGGUGGCCCCGCGAUUCUUCCAGGAGUGACUCGUCGAGUCAAAGAGGAUACUCGACGAGUAGAAGGGGACUCUUAGAGGAUUGAAGGACGACCAGACUCGCCGAGUCGCCAGGGAACUCGCCGAGUCCAGUCGAGCUGACAACGGGCUGUUGACCAGAGUUGACUGGUGUGAUUUCUUAGGGUCAGUUAACGUGGAAGAUAGAAGUAUUAAUAAGGGAUAUAUGAUGUUACAGGGAGCUUGUAGCUCGGAGGAUCAAGUGCAAGGGAUUUCAGGAGUUGCUAUCUUCCAGUGUCCGCGAGGUGAGUCUUCUCACUAUACUUUACCCGGAAGGGUUUGAUUGUGAGACCGGAAGGUCGUAUGUGUGAUAUUUAUGCUAUGGCUAGAGAGAUAGAUGCUUUAUAUGUGAUGUAUGCUUAUAUAUGAUGUAUACUUAUACGGGCCGGAAGGCGAGACUUCAUGUGAUAGGAAGAACGGUAUGAUGUAUGACUUAUGUGUUAUGUGCGUUAUGUUACAUGUGUUAUGUUUAUACUGUUAUGGGCCGGAAGGCGAUUAUGUUACGGGCCGGAAGGCAAUAUUAUGUGGACCGAAAGGUCCGGGCCGGAAGGCAAUAUUAUGUGGACCGAAAGGUCCGGGCCGGAAGGCAAUAUUAUGUGGACCGAAAGGUCCGGGCCGGAAGGCAAUAUUAUGUGGACCGAAAGGUCCGGGCCGGAAGGCAAUAUUAUGUGGAUCGAAAGGUCCGGGCCGGAAGGCGUGUGUGCGUAAGGUAUAUUGGGGAACUCACUAAGCUUCGUGCUUACGUUGUUUAUGUUAUAUUGUUUCAGGAUCUUACAGUAACGCGGGAUGGCAACGGUUCGAUUGUACACACCGAAGAGAGAAUUGUGUUUUGGAGGAUCCUGGUCUUCUAUUAUAACGAAAAUGGAACUAUGUUUUGUAAUUUGAAUGUGAAUAAGAUUUUAAACAAGUGUUUUAAUAUUAAUUUGAUUAUUUAAAUGAAAAUUUUGUUUUUGGAAAUCACGGUGUUACAUUCAAGAAACUAAAUGCUACUUCAUACCAUGAGUUUACGGCUGUAAACUCAUGGGGAAGUGGUCCCCAAGCCGUAAACUCAGUAUAAGGUCAAUCUUGGACCAUAAACCCACCUAGCAUCUUGUUUAAGCCUUUAAACACCUAACCACAUAAGACAACUUACCUUUAAGCCUCAUUUGGUGACCUAUUGGAGAGUUUAUGGCUAGGAGUAAACUCCCCUGGGCCGUAAACUCCAACAAGUAUGGUCUAUGACCAUAAACUCACUUACAAAGCCUUAUACUUCUUUGUUGCAACCCAAUGGCCUCCUAACACUUUGACCAAAGUGUUUUCCACGCCUUAGAAUGUUUAUACUUGACUUAGGAUCAUUGUGUGUGUUUAAGUCUUCACUUGACACCAAACACUUGUCCAACACUUCCAUCCGAUCCACUCACUACAGGUGAGUUCAUACCCCUUAAUUAACCUUUUAAAUGUUUAUAAAUGCUUUAUGGGGGGAAUACAAGUUGAAUCAUGAUUGAUAUUAUAUCAAUCACAUGUGAUUAAUAACUAGCAAACAAAUGGAUUUACUAUACUUUUAGUUGUUUUGGCAAACAGAUUACUUCAAAUGUCUUUCUCAAACGUUUUUACAUGUUAAAACUCUUUAUCAAACUAGUUUACAUACUGUAUGUUUCCUUUCAAACUCUGUUACACUUGUGUUUCAAACAAAGGUUUUCCUUCUACUUAAAACUGUCUUAUCAAACAAACUACUUUCAAAUCGUUUUAUAAACUAACAUCAAGUCAUCAUUUUCUUAGUUAUUAAAUAUUUCAAAGAUUUUACAAAACUUCUUUUACACUUUUAUAUUGUCAAAUGCAUGCCUAUAUAUGUAUAGUUAUAUACGAAAUGUUUAAAGUACUUAGGACGGCUAGCUCACUUUAUUUCCUUUUCAUCGUUGGGAUGUGGUGUUAGACCACCGGUUAUUCGUGUGAAUGUCGUCUAAAUAUUAGUUAUAUAUCAUCUAUACAUAUAUAGACAUAAAAGUUCCAUCAGUCAGUUCAGUACCUUUGGGUAGCAAAGGCAUACUUUCGGUUAUAUACGUACAUUAAUAGUAACUAUAAUAGGUAUAAUUAGGAGAUACUACUUACUAUUCCAAGUACAAGGAUUCACACAAGAGUCAGUUCAUUCAUGAGUCUAUACUAAUACAUUACAUACUAUAUGCGUAGAUACGAUUACACACGUUUACAUGAAUACGUUUACAUAGAUACGUUUACAUAGAUACGUUUACAUAGAUACGUUUACAUGAAUACGCUUACAUGAAUACGUUUACAUAGAUACGCUUACAUGAAUAAGUUUACAUUAAUAGGUUUAAUAGAUACUAUUACAUAGAAUCUAUUACAAACGUUUCGGGACUUACCAUUCCACACCAAAAGCUGUUAGCUACAGUAGGGAAAAUGAUCAUCGACGGGUGUCUACGGUUGUACUGUUCGGCGAGUUUCCACGCCGUGAAUAUCCUAGUUCAAAAGGAUACAAUUUUAGUUAUUAUAUUAUUUUUCUUUUUAACUUUACUUUGUGAUGCAUUCACAUGAACGACGAGGUAUGAUAUAUUUGAUAUAGAUAGACUAUUUUCCUUAUUACCUUUAUAUUGUGACUCAUACGCAUAAACGAUGAGGUAGACUAUAGUUUUAUAAUAAUAGUUAAACAGGGAAAAACCGUCACAUCUACAGUGAUGCCUACUUUCAAAACUGUCGGAUCUUGGUAAAAGACUACUUUCAAAACAGUCGGGUCUUGGUAGAAGACUACUAUUAUACUAGUAGGAAAUAUGAGAUUUUCUAGGGUUUUCAAACGUUUACAAUUACUUACAAACAUUUUCAUACUUAUAUAAAAUUUUCUCCAAAUAUUUACAAGUCUUUACUUUACAGUUUUACAAAUCAAAUACACAUUAAUACUUAUGAAUUCACGAGCUUUAUUGCUGAUACUCACUUUCAAAAUAACUUGUAUUCUCAGGUUACAAAUAGACAGGUACAUCGAGCAGGUUUUGUGAAGACGGAGCAGUCAAGACUCGUCUUUUAUUUUCGACAUUCAUUAUCUUGUUUUAAUACUAUGAAAGAACACACAUGUAUUUAAAAUUAUACUAUUAAUGCAAUGGAUGAUGUUGUUGCUUGUUAACUACUUUACAUCGUUGUGAUACAUUACAUGACGUCCUCCGCCCCAGAACGUUUCCGCCGUUCUCGGUUUUGGGGUGUGACAAUAUAAGUUUAAGAGUUAGGAGUUUUAAAACAUUAAAUUUUUUAUUAAUCAAUCAAUUAAGUACCACAUGUUGAAAUUUUUACAAUCGUUAUUAAAAAACAUUUGAAAUAUUAGAUUUUAAAUGAAUUUUGGUUGAGAAAGAUGGAAAGGAUAACAUAUGCAUGAGUUUUAAUUAAUUAUGUUUUUGAAAUGCUGCAAUUACAAAAAAAACAUAUUCAAAAUAUUUAAUUAAAUAUUUUCGACAUCACCCUAUAUAACAUAUGAUCAAUAUAUUAACGAUUAAACCACAGUAUACAACGACUGUAUUACAAUAUUCCAAAAUCGAAGAAAAUAUAAAAAUGAAUGAGUAUAACAAACUUACAAAUUAAAAGCUCUAAUAUAAUAGCAUAUCUCCAAAAGUGGUCAUAAAACCUCAACCCAACACAAAAACCUUUAAGUUUGUUUUCUUUCUGAAAUUUGUAUAUGAUUUGUAUGCAUGUCUUCCCAAAAGAUUGACAUUUUUAUAGUAACCUUUUUCACUAAAUGUUAAUUAAACAUAAUAUAAGUUAUACAAUUUUUGAGUGUUAAAUCAUAAUUAAUAAAAUUUUUGAGUUGCAUUAGUUAAAAAAGGGGUUUCAAAUGUAUGAGAUUCAAGAAAAAUGCUAGCUUUAUAAGGACGUAUGAUAUAUNGUCAAUUUAGAGAUGAUAAGCAUCAAAAAUGACUUUUUGAUGGAAGAUUAUUUAGAAGGAUUAAUCUUAACUAAGUUAUAGUAUAUGUUAUAAGGAUUCCGUACAUAUAAAGAAUGCCGAAAUCCGAGUGAUGACGAAGAAGUUAUGACCUGUCGAAGUUUCGCGACAGAACUGGCACGACACAGCGCGACCUAAAAAGUGAAUUUAUGUUAGAGCGAUAUUUAGCCUUAGUAAUCUAAACGAAAGUUGAAGUGUUCGUUAAACCGAGAGCGUGCAUAAAAAGAACGCCCAAAUCUGACUUCGUAUUAGGAAGUUAUGGUUUUCUAAAGUUUCGACUUAGCAGUAUGCAGCCAGAAUACUCGAUUUAAGAUCGAGCGGUUUUUAGCCGAAACAAUCUAAACGAGAAUCAAAGAUGUCGUUAAUAGUAGUGAAACGAUAAAAAUAUAGGCGAAAACGGACGUCGGAUGAAGGAGUUAUGAAUUUAUAACGGAGUUUUCCUGUCACAGCCUACUAAAAAUAAUAUAAUAAAAAUAAAUUCAAAAUUAGCCGACGUAGUCUAAAUGAAAGUUAUAGAUCUUGCUUUUACCUACGCGUCGAUAUAAAGAACGUCGAAAACGGAGUUCGUAUGCGAAAGUUAUGAAUUUCAGAAUUUCGGGGCGCGAAACCCCAAAACUGUCAGCUACCACGACGUGGCAAGCAGUGCCACGACGUCGCAAGUCUUUUGACACCUCCUGGAGUCCCCCAGAUGCAACUUGCGAUGACACAUGCAAUGACGACCAAGCCCACGACAUGAAAAAAGGUGCCACGACGUGGCAAGGGCAAAUUUUGCCCUAUAAAUAGAUUUGAAGGGCUAGCCGAUUAUGGUUGCUCCAUCCCUUCUCUCCCACUACCGAUACACCCUCUAGGCCCUAUUUUAACCCCCCGAAGUCCCGAUAACAUCCCGAGACCUGAAGCAAGUCCCGAAGCCCGAAGAUCCCGAGAAGAAAAGAGUUUCCGAGCCGAAGCUCUGUCCGCGAGAAACCCGGUGUGUGAAGAUAUCUCGGUUUCACCGAAGAGUUCUACUUGAAGAGCCGUAGUGCUGUUUGAGCUUUGUCUAAUCAAGUGGGUGUGUGGUUACUUUCUUCUAACACAUAAAUAUAAAGUAAUAGCUAUGAAAUACGUGCUAUGUGUUAUGUAUUAUUUGUCUAUUUGAGAUGGGCUUGGAAUUGAUGUUUUUAUACGAGUGUUAAAUGAUUCAAACUAUAUAUGUAUUUUGUAUCUAUAAAAUAUGUUGGGUAGAACAUGGGUAGACGAAAUAGUGGCAAGUAUGAGACGUAGUGCCUAUUCUAUAAACCUUGGUGACUAUGGAGUUAGCGCCUAUUGUAUAAACCUUGGUGACUAUGGAGUUUGCGCCUGUUAAAGUAAACCUUGGCGACUAUGGAGUUAGCGCAUAUUGAGUAAACCUUGGCGACUAUGGAGUUAGUGCUUGUUGAGUCAACCUUGGUGACUAUGGGGUUAGCGCCUGAUAGCUAUGGAUUUAGUACCUGAUAGAUAAACUUUGGCAGCAAUGGACUUCAUGUCGAUUCGUUAGGUAAAUCCUUAGGAACGAAUGGAUAAAGGAUAGUUGAUUCUUAGGGUAAAACCUUAAGAAAUAAAGAGGAUAAUGGGGAUGAGUAAUUUGGUUGAUUGUUUGAUGAUUAAAUAUAAUAAAUAUAUUAUUGUGGGUUGAAAACCCUAUACGCUCACCAGGCUCCCAAGCCUGACCUACUCAGUUUUCUUUGUAUUACAGGUAAUGGCAUAGGGGUAUAAGUUCGUGGAUUGACGAGAGAAUUUGAAUUAUAGAUCAGUAGUUAUAAAUAACUGUUGUAAGGUUUAUUUUAUAUUGUUUAGGCUUUUGGUUUGUAUCAGAAUAUGACAUCCCGAGGUUUUAUUAUUUAAUGAAAAUACAUUCUCUUUGAGAAAUGUUUUGAUAAAUGGUUAUCAUAUUUUGUUUUUGGGACAAUUUCCGCAACUGUUUUCCUUACAAAUGAUUACUCUGAUUUUAAAACAAAGCAUAAACAAAUCGGUCUUUUCUAGCGGCAAAAUUGGGGAUGUCACAAUUGGUAUCAAAGCAUUAGUUUAAGCGAACUAGCAAUUUGUAGGAUUUCUAGACUUAAACUUAGAAUGUUAAGCAAUGAUUGUGAGAUGAGUGCCUGCCAUAUUUUAGACACGAGCACUAGCUUAUUUAAGAAAAAUGCCUAACAUGCUUUUAUGUGCUAAAUGGUUUGUGAUAUGCGUUAUGUGAUUGGAUCUAUGGUCUGUUGCCGACCGGAUCUGGAAAUUUUAUGUGUUCAGAUUUCUAAAUGUUUAAUUACGGUAUUAGAACUGGCAUGUAAAUUUUCGGAGUAAUAAGGAGUAUAACACGUCUAAAUCUUCUUUAUCUAUAUUUCGUCUCGAUGCAAAGAAUGCAUGCUUCUGUGAAAAUAACGUCAUGGUGGAGACUCGUAGAGAAUUGAGAAAAUGGAGGAAAUGAAAGCCUUAUGAUAGCGAAUGACACCUAUCAGAAGAUAUCGUAAGAGUGGUGUCGUGCCUUUAGUUUAUCUCUGAUAAAAUAACAGAAUGUUUAGAGGAGUACGGUACGUCUGAAGUACACCUUCGAUUGGCAGGAUGAUGGAACGAUUGGUGUAAUUUUUAUAGUUGUCCCAUCAUCUGGAAUUUCCAUCACCAACCGAGUUAAAUUAGAAAUGAUGAUUGAAGAUACGCUUGGAAGAAGUCUUAGUAGAGUCUAGGAAAAUUAGUAUGAUUAAUUGGACACAUUAGUAUGUGUUAAAUUGUUUUGUGAUAUUAGGACUUGGGGACUGCGAGACAAUACUUGGGACGAGUACGAGUUAGUGUGAAUAGUAGUAGAGAUCUAUACUACUGGAAGAACAAGACUCACACUUAGAUCAGGGAAAGUCACAAGGUUACCAAGAAGCUAGUGAUUGGUCUCAUUUUAUUCAAGUAUGUCGUUACCAUUGUUUCGGUAGUGACUAAGAAGAUGAUUGUUAUUCUGACCCUAGCGGUCAUUACAAAUUGAGUCCGACUGCAAUGAGUUUGUUACUUGGUUCUGAGAACCGAGUUUGAUGUAGUAUCUGACUUAAGUCAGAAGAUUGAAAUCAAUGCGAUCGAUAGCAUCGCGCUCAUUGUUAAAGAAGUUAGUAGCUAGAAAUGUUACAUGCUAAAAUGUGAUUAUAUCACAUUAGAAUAUGAAGGAAGGAAUAAUCCAUUCUGGGAUUUGACUCUAAGAGACUUGAGUCUAAGCGUUGCAUCAUACGAUGAGAGGUCAUUAGAAUAUGACCCAUCGGUCUGUUACAAUAAAUAAAGGAAAGUAUUUAUCCUAAGAAGAAGAAAGAGUCCAAAUUGAGGACUUAUUUUGUAACUUGAAGGUUAUGAUUGAAAGUCCAACAUAGUACGAAAAGCAGAUGCAAGAUUGAGCAUCGUUUGCAGUCAAGAAGCCCUAGAGUUAGAUACUUUUCGAAGAAACAUAGAAGUUAGUGUUAUUACCUAGGUUGAAGAGAUAGCAUAUAAAAUCAUUAUACCAGUCCUAUUUUGAUGAUGAUUCUGGGACGUAAUCAUCCUAUGGGGGAGAUAAUUGUAACGCCCGCAGAUCUGGGCUAGUCAUUUAGAGACGAUAAGCAUCAAAAAUGACUUUUUUAUGGAAGAUUAUUUAGAAGGAUUAAUCUUAACUAAGUUAUAGUAUAUGUUACAAGGAUUCCGCAUAUAUAAAGAAGGCAAAAAUCCGAGUUAUAACGAAGAAGUUAUGACUUGUCAAAGUUUCGCGACAGAACCGGCACGACACAGCGCGACGUAAAAAGUGAAUUUAUGUUAGAGCGAUAUUUAGCCUUAGUAAUCUAAACGAAAGUUGAAGAGUUUGUUAAACUGAGAGCGUGCAUAAAAAGAACGCCCAAAUCUAAAUUCGUAUGAGGAAGUUAUGAUUUUCUGAAGUUUCAACUUAGCAGUAUGCACCCUGAAUACUCGAUUUGAGAUCGAGCGGUUUUUAGCCGAAACAAUCUAAACGAGAAUCGAAUAUCUCAUUAAUAGUAGUGAAACGAUAAAAAGAUAGGCGAAAACGGACGUCAGAUGAAGGAGUUAUGAAUUUAUAACGGAGUUUUCCUGUCCCGGCCUACUAAAAAUAAUAUAAAAACAAUAUAAUAAAAAUAAAUUCAAAAUUAGCCGACUGAGUCUAAAGGAAAGUUGUAGAUCUGUUUUUUACCUACGCGUCGAUAUAAAGAACGUCGAAAACGGAGUUCGUAUGCGAAAGUUAUGAAUUUCUGAAUUUCGGGGCGCGAAACCCCAAAACUGUCAGAUACCACGACGUGGCAAGCAGUGCCACGACGUCGCAAGUCUUUUGACACCUCCUGGAGUCCCCCAGACGCAACUUGCGAUGACGCAUGCAAUGACGACCAAGCCCACGACAUGAAAAAAGGUGCCAUGACGUGGCAAGGGCAAAUUUUGUCCUAUAAAUAGAUUUAAAGGACCAACCGAUUAUGGUUGCUCCAUCCAUUCUCUCCCACUCCCGAUACACCCUCUAAGCCCUAUUUUAACCCCCCCCCCCCGNAAACACCGAUAACAUCCCGAGACCCGAAGCGAGUCCCGAAGCCCAAAGAUCCCGAGAAGAAAAGAGUUUCCGAGCCGAAGCUCAGUCCGCGAGAAACCCGGUGUGUGAAGAUAUCACGGUUUCACCGAAGAGUUCUACUUGAAGAGCCGUAGUGCUAUCCGAGCUUCGUCUAAUCAAGUGAGUGUGUGGUUACUUUCUUCUAACACAUAAAUAUAAAGUAAUAGCUAUGAAAUACGUGCUAUGUGUUAUGUAUUAUUUGUCUAUUUGAGAUGGGCUUGGAAUUGAUGUUUUUAUACGGGUGUUAAAUGAUUCAAUCUAUAUAUAUAUAUGUAUUUUGUAUCUACAAAAUAUGUUGGGUAGAACAUGGGUAGAUGAAAUAGUGGCAACUAUGAAACGUAGUGCCUGUUGUAUAAACCUUGGUGACUAUGGAGUUAGCGCCUAUUGUAUAAACCUUGGUGGCUAUGGAGUUAGCGCCUAUUAAAGUAACCCUUGGCGACUAUGGAGUUAGCGCAUGUUGAGUAAACCUUGGCGACUAUGGAGUUAGCGAUUGUUGAGUGAACCUUGGUGACUAUGGAGUUAGCGCCUGAUAGCUAUGGAUUUAGUACCUGAUAGAUAAACUUUGGCAGCAAUGGACUUCAUGCCGAUUCCUUAGGAACCAAUGGAUAAAGGAUAGUUGAUUCUUAGGGUAAAACCUUAAGAAAUAAAGAGGAUAAUGGGGAUGGGUAAUUGGGUUGAUUGUUUGAUGAUUAAAUAUAAUAAUUAUAUUAUUGUGGGUUGAAAACCCUAUACGCUCACCAGGCUCCCAAGCUUGACCCAUUCAGUUUUCUUUGCAUUACAGGUAAUGACACAAGGGUAUAAGUUGUUGGACUUGACGAGAGAAUUUGGAUUAUAGAUCAGUAGUUAUAAAUAACUGUUGUAAGGUCUAUUUAAUAUUGUUUACGCUUUUGGUCUGUAUCGGAACAUGACAUCCCGAGGUUUUUUUAUUUAAUGAAAAUACAUUCUCUUUGAGAAAUGUUUUGAUAAAUGGUUAUCAUAUUUUGUUUUUGGGACAAUUUCUGCAACUAUUUUCCUUAAAAAGGAUUACUCUGAUUUUAAAAUAAAGUAGAAACAAAUCGGUCUUUUCUGGCCUCGAAAUUUGGGAUGUCACAAUAUAAGUGAGGGAUCAAUUGAGAAAAAAAGUUGAGAAUGAGGGAAUGAACGCGGGCCACUAAUUUCGAAUUUUCCGCUUAAGCGCUCUAGCACACCGGGCCGACAUAACAAGUCAUAUUCAUAUAUGAAUACAUAUAUUCAUAUAUGUAUAAGUAUAACGAAAGUGGUCAUUCAUAUAUGAAUAUGGCGGCGGUGGGUGGUGGUGGAGGUGAUGGUGGUUGGCUUCAGACGUGGUGGUGGUCAGUGGCGGUGGUUAGUAGCGGAUGAGAAGUGGAGCAUUCAUAUAUUAAGAUUACUCAUCCUUCGUCGGCCUGGUACAUCAGAGCAUUUUUCGGAAAAAAUAAAUUAUCGGCUGAUAAUGAAUCUCCAUUCUCAACCUUUUUAAUUUUCUCAAUUGAACUUAUAUAUAUAUAUAUAUAUAUAGUAUGGGCUAAGUUCAUUUAGGUUGGGCNNNNNNNNNNNNNNNNNNNNNNNNNNNNNNNNNNNNNNNNNNNNNNNNNNNNNNNNNNNNNNNNNNNNNNNNNNNNNNNNNNNNNNNNNNNNNNNNNNNNNNNNNNNNNNNNNNNNNNNNNNNNNNNNNNNNNNNNNNNNNNNNNNNNNNNNNNNNNNNNNNNNNNNNNNNNNNNNNNNNNNNNNNNNNNNNNNNNNNNNNNNNNNNNNNNNNNNNNNNNNNNNNNNNNNNNNNNNNNNNNNNNNNNNNNNNNNNNNNNNNNNNNNNNNNNNNNNNNNNNNNNNNNNNNNNNNNNNNNNNNNNNNNNNNNNNNNNNNNNNNNNNNNNNNNNNNNNNNNNNNNNNNNNNNNNNNNNNNNNNNNNNNNNNNNNNNNNNNNNNNNNNNNNNNNNNNNNNNNNNNNNNNNNNNNNNNNNNNNNNNNNNNNNNNNNNNNNNNNNNNNNNNNNNNNNNNNNNNNNNNNNNNNNNNNNNNNNNNNNNNNNNNNNNNNNNNNNNNNNNNNNNNNNNNNNNNNNNNNNNNNNNNNNNNNNNNNNNNNNNNNNNNNNNNNNNNNNNNNNNNNNNNNNNNNNNNNNNNNNNNNNNNNNNNNNNNNNNNNNNNNNNNNNNNNNNNNNNNNNNNNNNNNNNNNNNNNNNNNNNNNNNNNNNNNNNNNNNNNNNNNNNNNNNNNNNNNNNNNNNNNNNNNNNNNNNNNNNNNNNNNNNNNNNNNNNNNNNNNNNNNNNNNNNNNNNNNNNNNNNNNNNNNNNNNNNNNNNNNNNNNNNNNNNNNNNNNNNNNNNNNNNNNNNNNNNNNNNNNNNNNNNNNNNNNNNNNNNNNNNNNNNNNNNNNNNNNNNNNNNNNNNNNNNNNNNNNNNNNNNNNNNNNNNNNCGGUUCGUGGUGACCGUGGCGAUUGUGAUGGUGGGGGAAAAGGAGCGAGGAACGUUGGAUAAUCAUUUAGUGUUAUAACUCUCCCGUCGUGCUGAUACGUUGAAGCGCUAGAGCGGCACAUAAGAAAUAUAUAACUGAGAUUGAAUCUGAAAAUCUUUAUUUUUUUUCGAAAUCUCAACAGAAUAUAUAUAUAUAUAUAUAUAAAGGUGGCAGAUAUAAUAAAAGUCAACUACAUUUUUAUUUUUAUGGUUCAAGCACAUAAAGGAUAAUGGAUUUAAAAGUGGACAGAUCGGAAUAUAGACCCUUUUAUUGAUUGUAAUGUUUUGCAACUGUACGUGUUUGGUUUCUUGUUUCAUAUAUAGAUUAAAAGACUAUUUAUAUUUUCAUUUACGUGCGGAAUUGAUUUUUUUUAGUUUAACUUUAAACUACUGGAUAUGUAUAUUAAAGUCCUAAAAUUUUAAAUGAUUUAAUAAGAAUGUUUUAAAUUUUAAUUUUUUAACAGUAAAAUUGUAACUACCGUUAGUUUUUGACACGCUUACCAUUUUUUACCGGUUAGCCGGUAGUUAGAAUUUUAUUGUCAAAAAAAUAAAGUUUAGGAUCAUUUUGUCAAAUCGUGAAUUAGGAUUUUAUUGUAAAAAACAUAAUGUUUAAGACUUUCUUGUUAAAUCAUUGAAAAUAUUGGGACUUUAAUGUAUAGUUUCAAUUUCCCUAGAAGCAAAUAAAUUUAUCAACCUCUUGAGACCCAAUUCGCAGCCUAAGAACUUUUAAUUGUGCUUUUCGUCACAACACCAUUAUUUUUCUUACAAUCAUCAUAAUUAACCUAAUACAAUUAUCACGAUCACGGGGAACAGAUACAAAAGAGAUAGCACGAGAGGGUGGGAAGACUUGUAAAGGUUUCUUAUUGGUUCGACGCCAAAUCUUAAACUGAAAAAAAGGGACAGAUUGUAGAAACACAAACAACAUACGCCUUGUCAAAAUGGUGUGAUCAAUUUGGAGAAUGGGUAAGAAGGGCAGUCUCAUCUUUUUCGUUUUCUUAAUGCUCUAUUUUUUGGACUGAAAAAAGCAACAUAACCCUAAUUCUUUCUUUCUUUCUUGAUUAUCUUCAUUUUUCUUAAUGUCGGUUUGUUUAGAUUUAAAAUACUAUUUAACAAGAAGCAAACAUUAAAGAUUUCAAUCGGAUCUAGCUGGUCAUAUUCAAAUAACACUUACGUUUAAAGAAUAUCAUACAAUUACAUUUCUUAAAAAAGGGAUAUAUACAGUAAAGUCAAAAUAUUUUCAACAAUUUGACAGUACAAUUCUUAAACUUAACAUUUUUGACAAUAAAAUCAUAAUUACCGGCUAACCGACAAAAAAAAGAUAAACGUAUAAAAAAACUGCCGAUAGUUACGAUUUUGUUUAAAACUUUGUUAUUAAAUUAGUGAAUAUAUAUCGCAUAAACAACGCUUCAAAUCGUUAUACAAAACUUUAUUCUAAAUUACUUCCUCCGUCCCAAAAUUAUAGUCCAUCUUUCCUUUUUGGUUUGUCCCAAAAUAAUGGUCCACUUCUAAAAAUAAAUAACGUUUUUACCAAAAUACCCCUUAUUAUUAAUUAACCAACUAAGCAUUUAAUGGAACAUUAAAUGCAAAGUAAGGACAAAACAGUCAUUUUAUUAAAUAAAGUUAGUGGUAAUUAAUGCUUUUCUUAAUCUGUGUGUUUUUUGUUUGUGGACAAUAAUAUUGGGACGGAGGGAGUACUUUGUACUUGAAUGAUACACAUUGUUAGAUCAUAAGUCCUUACAUUCAACGUGUGGUUGUGGAUUUUUUAUUAUGACCUCACAUCAGGACUUUAAUUUUAAUAAAUGAUAGGUUCAAUUAAUAAUCGAUGACUAUUUUUUUUUUAGAACGGCGCAAUGACGAACGGCGAAGAAAUAUAAACUCUAUUCCGAAAAACUAAAUCCAGUGAAUGCAAAUCUGUCGUUUUCGUAUGCCAAAAGAUAGAGUUAACUGUUUGUCGAUAGUAAUAGAAUGUUCGUACUAUCUAAAUAAAAUGAGAAUAUGUGCAUGAAUGAACCAGUUGUUGACACCAAUCUCCAUAUCGAUUGUCAAGCUGACAUGCACAUUCAACAAAACAUAUCCAUUCUUUCUAUAUUUAUAACUUUGUAUUAUUAGAAAUUCCACUACAAAACGCAAGUCUAAUGAAUCAACUAGUAUCCGUUUCAUUUGUCACAUUACCACUCUCAACGAUGGUUAUCUUUCACAUCCAAACAUUCUAUUUUUGCAAGUCUAAUAAAUCAAUAUGUAUCCGUUUUCUCUUUCACUUUACUGCUCUCAACGAUGCUCAUCUUCACAUCCAAACAUUCUAUUUUUAGAGAUUGAUACUGUCAUAAAAUAGUAAUGUAUUUCAUUUAUACAAUUUAGACCACUUACUAUUAUUUUGUAUAUACUAAGUUAUUGUAUUGGUUGGGUAGACAAUAUGACCAUUAAUUCGGUGCAAAGAAAGUGUUUGGAUUCCAUCAUUGUUACGACUUUUUGGGUAAAUUGGAACUUUGCGACAUAUGAUAUUUGGAAUGGUAAAUAUGAGGAAGCCUGAUUUUUUUCAUAAAAAUUUUGCACAACCUUUCUUUCAGAUUACUAAUAGCAGUAAUAAGCUUAAGAUUAAUUGGGUUGGUUGAUUGCCAUUAGAGAUUAUACAAAACAGCCCCUUUUAAAACUCUAUUGUGGGUCUUCGGGAUUUAAACUUCGGUCGCCUAUGAGAAGUCACUUACCCAAUUGAGCAACCAUAUGCUGCUUUUUCGGCCAUCUUUGUAAUGUUUUAAUAAAAUUUCUGCCCGCUCAAAAAAGAAAAAAAAAAUCAUUGGGUUUUAAUAUUUUUUGGGUAAAAUCGUUUGUUUCCUUGGACAAUUUAAUAAGUACUUUUGCUAACAUAUUAACUACGUGGCAUAUAUUGACACAUCAUUAAAUGACACCUGUUCAUUUGACGACACAAUUGUCACUGAUGGUUAUCUUCACCACCAAAACUUCUAUUUUUAGAAACAUCAUUACAAAAUUGUGGAUCCAGGUCCCUUUCGUGUGUGUGUGAAAUGUAGGACAAAGAAUAUCAUACUCUCAGCCACAAAGCCGCAAAGGUAUCUAUUGUAAGUUCGCAAUUAAUAUAAUCAAUUACGAUCCUUGUAGUAUGAAUUAAAAAUAUACCCCUCUAAGUUUUGAUAUACGUCGUGAAAACCCCAUAGGUUAUGGUGUAGUGUUAUCUUUGUUGUAGGUAGGUAGGCAUGUAAAUUUUAGACAAAAUUACAUAAAUGGUCCUUGUGGUUUACCAAAAGUCACAACUUCAGUCUUUGUUAAAUUGUUUUAGAAGAAUGGUCCUCAUGGUUUCUAAACUUACAAGAAUGGCUCUUGUGGUUUCAAAAACUCAAAGUUUACAACUUCAGUCUCCUUCCCCCAUCUUUUUCGAUUGCAGGUCCUCGUUUCUCCCCUCUUAAUUGAGUCGCAAGCACAAACAAAUUGAGAAGGAAAUACACAGCUGCUACUUCAACUACCUAAAAUAUUAAAACAAUCUCUAGAUGAAUUAAGGACAUCAGUUCCCUAUCUCUACCCGUUUUUCAGCUUUUCAAUUGUUACUUCUUUCGUUUUGUUUUUUCCUAUCAACACCAAGAAAGAAACCAUUAGUGUAAUGCCCUGUUCUGAAUCGUUACUCGUUUGGGCGUCGUUGAUGAAAUGUAGGUGUUUCGGGCGUUCAGAUUUGCUUUUGGAGCCACAGAGUAUUUUGGUAAAAUGGCAGCAGGCUUUUAUUGGAAAUUGGAUUUUGUGUUCGGGGAACUUUAUGUCAAGUGUGAGUUGAUAAUAGUGUGGCUCUUCUCGAUACCUUUUCAUGGAUAUUAGGAUGGUCGGAAUCUGAGUUGUAUGAAGGAAGUCAUGGCCUUCGAAAUGAACUAGGGUCUGGGUAAAACCCUAGUAUGCGAGGCGUACCAAGGUGGUACGCGGGGCGUAUAGCGUAGUUCGAGUUUGGGAUCGGGUGUGAGACCUUCUACACUAGGCGUAAGAAGAGUAUGUUGGGUGUACGAGGGUUAGAUUGAAACACUAAAUUUCGUAUUUGUACCCUACAUAAGCUUAAUCUUAGCCCCUUUCCUACAUUUCUAUGUCAACCUCCAUACUCUAAAAACCCUAAAUCGACCUUGGAGCCUCUUGGAGAUAUUCUUGAGCUAUUGGGAGGCUUUGAUACUCAUUUUCUCCCUUGCGAAGGAAAGAAGAGAAACUUGAAGUUCAUUUGCUUGGUGGGAAAGCUUUAGAUCCAGAACCAUCAUCUUGUGGGGAAGCUUUUUGAGGUAUCAAGUUUGCAUCUUGACUUGUAUGAUUAGAUCUCUUCAUGGCUAGUGUAUUAUGAUUUUAAUCUUCUUUUUGAGAUUAUGGAUGAGUUAGGUUGUUUAAGGGUUUAUCCUUUCACGUCUAAUCUUGUUUUGAUAUCCUUGAGCAUAAUAGUGCAAGCUUUAUGUGUAUUAUGGAGUGAUGCAUGCAUUAAAUCAACCAAUAAAUCCCUUUUAAGCUUAUGAGCUUCUUCUAGUCAUGUAUGAACGUAAAGUUGGCAACUUUACGAGGUAUUCCAAAUCAAGGAGGUUAGAUCUAUGGUUUAGAAAGCUUCGUCUUAAUGGAUUAAGUGAAAAUCAGGUUUGGGUUAAAUAAGGUAAGUACAAUGGGCGUACAAGCAGGUAUGCGUAGCAUACAAGCCUCCAAGCGAGUACGUUGCACGUACAUGUAUGUAUGCCCCGUGUACUCGGUCUAAAUGUGUUUGGGCUAUCUUCUGGGCUUGGAUUGAUUGAGGCUUGUAACACCCCAUCUUUCAAGUAACUUCAAAUUCAUACCUUGGACUUUGAAUUAUGUCAUUUUUGGCCCUUGGUUUGGAAAAAAGUGGCAAAGGGAGGCCCUAGUGACAAAUUGGUGGUCUUGGGAACUUGAGUAGUACGCUGGACGUACAUGUGAGUAUGCUAAGCGUACUAAGGCAUGCCCUAGUAUGCUGGGCGUACACAUAUUUACACUAGGCGUAUGAGUGCCAGGGUGAAACGGUAAAUUUUAGGGUUUGUGGAGUAUUUAAGCAUCUUAUGGACCAUUUCCUCUCAUCUCUUCCAGCCUCCAAGUUCUUGAGCCAUUUUGAGUAAACCCUAACCCCCAUAAUGAACAUCUUGAGCUGAUGAUGAAGUUUUGUGUAACAUCCCAAAUUUCAUAUGUUUGAGUUAAGGGCUUAAAGUGUAAAUUGAAGAAGGGACUCAACGAGUAGGUAUACUUACUCGCCGAGUCGGAGCGGGUUUCGGGUAGAAUCAACGAGUUGGUGCUGGAAUGAGAAAAACCCUAAUCUCGAGGGUUGCACCCUAUUUAAAGGACUUUAUGUCCUUCUCUCAGCCUCCUUAUUGCCCUUGAGAAUCAGAAAACCCUAAGCUCGUGUCUGUGAGGCAUUUGGAGGGAGAUUGAAGCUUUGGAAGUUGUUUCUAGUGGAAGAAACUUGAAGAUGAAAAGGUCUUGCAUCAAGAGAGUGGAGUAGAUCAAGAAUGUACUUCAGUUUGGGCACAUCUUGGAGGUAAUAAGCUGUUAAUUUCCCUCUUUUGCAUCUAGAUAUAUUCAUGAAUGAGAUUUUGGGCCCUUUUUGGUAUGUUUGAGAUCUAUUUCGGGUCUGGAGUUUAGAUCUGAGGUUGCUACUCUAGAUCUAGACUUGUGUUGGUCUAGAAUGUCAUAAAGUAUCAGUCCAAGAGUUGUUGCUAAAGCCCCUUUUUCUAAAGCCCUAGCCCUAGAGUGAUUUGGACCUUUAACUCCUUGUUUUCACGUAAAGUUUACAACUUUACGUGGGGGUUAUGCCCUAGAAGAGUGGAUGUACAGUUUGGAGCCCCUGCAUGGCUCAAAAAGCCUAUGUAUGGAUGAAUGACUGAAGAGACUCGGCGAGUUCCUUGGGUGGACUCGGCGAGUCAUUUGAAGAUGGGCAUUGACUCAACGAGUUGGAAGAACAACUCGGCUAGUCUGUUGAAGAUUGCCUCAGACUCGGCGAGUCUGUUCUUAGACUCGGUGAGUCAGGUCGUAGAACCCCAAACUCUUUUGGAUAAGCUUCGGAUCUGUGAGUCGGUUGGCGACUCAGUGAGUUGGUCAAGAAAAAAUUCUGAAAUCGUUGAACUCGACGAGUCUUGGGGCGACUCGGCGUGUUGAGUCGUGUUAUGGGAGUUUUCUGAGUAUAAGAACUCGACGAGUUGACAGGUUGACUUGGUGAGUAUAGUCAAUCAGGAAGGUUGACUUUGACUAGGACAUUGACCAAAGUUAACUUAGUUGACUUCGGGAGGACAAUUUAGUCUAAGUGUUGUUAUUGGUAUUGGUUGCUCAGGAAGCUAGAGAAGCAGCAUUUCAGAGAGUUUUCGGUUAGCAACCAGAGGGUUAUCAGCCGAGUUCAGCAGUUUAGGUGAGUUUUUCCUUCCAGUAGGAACGGGUCUAUGGCCACAAUGCCGGCCCGUCUAGUUAGCGGUAGUUUCCGGACUUCGGUCCAAUGUAGUAGUUUAGUGUGCUUGAUGUCUUUCUGAUUCAAGCAUGUUUUUAUGUUAUGUGUUUCGGACUUCAGUCCGAUGCAGUAUGAAGUAUAUGUGUUUAUGAUAGUAGUUACGAUUAUGCUAUGCUAUGUUUAGCCAGUUAGUUUGGACUUUGGUCCGAUGCAGUUUUCGGACUUCGGUCCGAGGUAGGGGCAAGGCCCCAGUUAGUCCAGACAUCAGCCCGAUGCAGUUAGCCGGACUUCGGUCCGAUGCAGUUUACGGGCUUCGGUCCGAUGUAGGGGGCAAGGCCCCAGUUAGUUCUGAUUUCGGUCCGAUGCAGUGGGCAAGGCCCAGUAUGUGCUAUAUGUGUUAUUGUAUGGUAUGUGGUAGUUUGGGGGAGCUCAAUAAGCUUUGUGCUUACAGUUUCAGUUUUGGUUUCAAGUACUUCAGCUAGCAAGGGGAAAAGCUUGGGUUGAUGGCAUGGCACGCACCACAGCUGCAAUUUUAUCCUGGGAGUUUUAUUCAUAUAUUUUGAUAUGAUAUUGACUUCAGUUUUGAAUCGAUACAUUUACUCUGGCAUUUUGAGACAUAUGAUUCAUGGUUUUAUUAUAUAACAUUUAAUAUUACGGUUUUAGUUAUAUUAAAAUAAAAAAUUUUAGUCAUGAUUUUUGGGUCGUUUCAUUUUGUGUGCAAAAAGAAGAAGUUAGUGCAUCAAAGGAGUCAAGGAAGGAAUCUAGCUUGUAGAUCUGUGGUUAUCACCAUCUUGGGAAGCUUUAGAAGGUAUAAAGCUUCUACAUUUAUGCUUGGAUUGUGUAGAUCUUUUUUUGGUUACUUUUUGGCAUUCUUCUUGUCCCAAGAAUACCAAUAUUGUGCAUGCUUUGUUUUGGUCGAGUUAAGUUGUCCUUUCAGACCCUAGGAUAGGUCCUAAGUCAUAAAAAUGAGGUCCCAUGAGCUAGUUUAGUCCUUAGUUCCUCGUAGGAGGUCUUAAUGGAUUAAGACCAUGUAGUAAGCCCUUUUUAGUUGACCAAAGUCUUAAAGUUUGAGACUUUAUGGUUCCAGAGCACAUUUGAGUUGUGGAUCUAAAAUUUAGGCUUAGGUGCUUAAGCCAUUAAGCACUUAUCAUGAUUUUGGCCUCUGCAAGGGUACCCCCCGCGUAAGGUUGCAUACACCCCGCGUUCGGAAUCAACCACCGUGUAAUUGGUCAAUGCGAGGUGAGGUACGCCAAAUGUACCGAAGGGGUAUGCCCCGCGUAUGUCCCCUGUUCGGCUUCCGAAUUUGGGCUUCAGGUAUUGGGCCAUCUGUUGGGCUAUGAUACUUCAGCCCUAAUGGUUUAUCUGGAUGGGUGUGUCUUGGGCUAAGUAGAGGAUCGGACCUUUGGAUAAGGCCCAAUAGUGAGUUGGACCCAAUUUGGAAAAUUGGGCUAAGUGUGGGCUUAAAGUUGUUUAGGCCUUCAGAUCAAGAUUUGGGUUUCGCUUGCAUUAAGUAGUGACGGACCGUCUGGGAUUUUAUGGUUUGGGCUUUCAGCAUGCUAGAUCUUCUUCAGUUAAGGCCAUUAGGCCCAAAUUGGAAAAAUCGGCCAUAAUUGGACUUAAGGAGUUUAUUUUGAUAUUGGACCUUUUUCAUCUAGUUUGGGCCUUGGCUUUGGACCAAGCUUGAGGAAGGGUAAAAAGCUAUUUUACCCUGAAUUGGACUCAUAGUAGGUUUCAGUGGCUAGAUGUUAAUGGAUUGUCAUUUUGGAAUGUGUUAGCGCAGCUGUGAUAGCGGAUAUAUAGUUAGAGAUUAUAUAUGGAAUCAACUAUUGAUGGGGGUGUUGUCCUGAUGAUGGUGGUUUGGGAUCUAACAGUCAGCGGUCAGGGAUCAUCUGUGUGCUUGACAGUGCGAGGUGAGUUUUCCUCACUGUAAUAAUAGGGUCGAAAGUGUGACAACCCGAAAUUUCCAUUCUGUGCAAACAAUAUCAAGUUAAUAGAAGUUAGAUCAGUUGCAGUAAAUUUUCAGACUUUUGGUAUAAGUUUGAGUAUUUCAAGAUUUACACUAAAAGAGAUAUCAGGAGAGAGGGUGCACUAGGGUAUCGUGCAACUCUGUUAUUCCAGAACUCUAUGAUAUUCGAGUUCACUAUCGGAAUAAAAAUAUUUUCUGCCAAAAACCCUAGGGGUAUAUAUAUGGUUCUAAGCCAUAUUUAUUCAUUUGUUACAUUUCCAACUAGAGAAAAGCCGAAUUCUCUCUCACGGAUCUUUGGACUUUCGUCCCAAAAUGUGAUUACUUCUAUCUAAGUGUGUUAUAGAGCUUGUUAUGUGUCGAAUACACUAGAAAUCAUAAGAAAACAUACUAGUUUAAAGAGUUUACGGCCUAAGAACAUCUUGGACCGUAAACCCUUCUUUAAGGGCAAAGAGUGCCCUAGUCCUUUCCUUUUGCAAUGAACUAGCUUAGACUCGUAUCCUAAUGUAUUUAGGACUAGAAAACACCCCUAGGACACCAAGAGUAAGGUGUUCACGGCCCAAGAAGUUCUUGGACCGUGAACUCCAAACAAAAGGGCCAAAGUGUGCUUUAAACUCCCCUUAAGCCUUGGACACUAGCCUAGAUUCAUUCCUAGUUAAUUUAGGGGCUUGAAAACACCAAAAACACCCUUUCCAUGAGAGAUUACGGCCAUAAUCUCUAAGGGAAGUGGUUCUAGGUCCGUAAACUCCCCAAAGGAGUUGAAAGGUGCCCUAAUCUCUUCCAAAGACCUUGCCAUUAAGUAGAAAUGCUUCUUAGGGUCUUGUAAAGCCUCAAAACAUCAAAAGAUCAAGUAAGUAUGAUCUUACGACCAUAAACCCAUGAGUUUACGACCGUAAACUCCUUUGUUGAUGACCCUAGGGCCGUGAACUCCAUUAUGGAGUUUUCCUUGAACCCAACACCCAUUAGCCUUUCCCUACAACACUUAGAUGCAAUCCUUGAGGCUUAAAACACUUGUUAAAGGUGUUUAACAUGUCCUAGGGUGUCUUGACUUUGUUUAUUAGUUGUUUACAGACUGAUUUGAUACAUAUAUGUGAUAUUAUAUGUUAACUAGGAUCAUAGAGUGUGUUCAAGACUUCACUUGACACCUAGCAAUCCUACAUCUUAAGUUCAUCCGUACCACUCACAACAGGUGUGUUCAUACCCCUUAAUUAAUGUUUUAAAUGUUUUUAAAUGUUUUAUGGGGGGGAUACAAGUAGAAUCAUGCUAGUUAUUAUAUCAAUCACAUGUUAUUAAUAAGCAGCAUUCAAAUGAUUUACUACUCAUUAACUGUUUUACCAAACAAUUUUCUUCACCUGAUUUUCAUAAACGUUUUAUAUGUUUAAAACUCCUUAUUAAACUGUUCAUUUUACACUGUAUGUUUCAUUUCAAACUCAUUUACAAUUCUGUUUCAAACAAAUGUUUCUUUAUACUUAAACUAUUUAUCAAACAGUUUUGCUUCAAACUGUUUUACAAAUUCUUGUACUUAUCAAAUACAUUUACUUAAGCUCUGUUAUAGUUAUUAUCAAUUGCAUGUCUAUGUAUGUAUAGUUAUAUAAUCAAUGUUUAAAAGGCUUAGGAAGGCCUCCCGCCUUAUUUCCUUUUCGCCGUUGAGAUGUGGUCUGGUGGGAGUAUCCGUCCGAAGGUCGUUUAAAUAUUAGUUAUGUAUCAUGUGUACAUAUAUAGUCAUAAAGGUUCUUCCAGUAAGUUCAAUACCCUUGGGUAGCAAGGGUAUACUUCCAUGUUCAUACGUACCAGUUAUAUUACUAGUAAGCUACCAUAUGGGUAGUUUAGGAAGAUACUAAUAUGUUUACUAGAAUGCGGAAUCAUACCACGAGUCAGUUCAUUCAUGAGUCUAUACAUACUAGAUAGAGAGAGAACACACAUUACAGCUAGUACACACAGUACAUUACUAUACAUGCUAGAUAGAGAGAGAACACAUGUUACAGCUAGCACACGCAUAACAUUACAGUACACUACUAUACUAUUACAUAGAUACGUUUACAUGAGUACAUUUACAUGAGUACAUUUACGUAAAUACGUUUACAUAGAGAACCUGUUAUAAGGAUGCCUAUAUAUGUAUAGUUAUAUAAGUAAUGUUUAAAGGACUUAGGAAGGCUAACCCGCUCUAUUUCCUUUUAACCGUUGGGAUGUGGUCUGGUGAGGUACCGGUAUCCGUCCGAAGGUCGUUUAAAUAUUAGUUAUAUAUCAUGUGUACAUAUAUGGACAUAAUAGUAUAUCAUGUGUACAUAUAUGGACAUAAUAGUUCCUUUCAGUCAGUUCAGUACCUUUGGGUAGCAAAGGUAUACGUUCAUAUACUUUUACAUAGAUCCUAUACGAUGAUAGGACAGACAUAACUAUGUGCUAUAGCAUGGAACGAUUUCAGGAUCUAACUAUACCAAUGAAUCACAACGCAUUGUGAUAGUUAUAUUGGGUAUACAUGAUCAUAGUAAUGUGGAUGUUCACGGCUUGCAACCAUGCAGGGGUCGUGUAUGGGUCCCAAAAUCUCUUUGACAGGGGAGUGUCUAGCUUGGGAUCUAGCCAUCACAUUAUGCCUUAUCCCUCAAAUAAGGCAAAAUAGUACAGAAGUAGUCACUUAUUACAAAUACUACAGUACUUACAAAAUUACAAUAGACUUAAGGUAGUUAGUACGGUUGUAAUUAUUUGAUACUAAACCAUAGUACUAUUUCAUUUUCCCAUUACAUUCACUUGGUGAAGAUUCACACGAUGCACGGUAAUGUAGAAGCUAUAGUUUUGGUUAAUGAUAGUCAGAUUUGGGAAAAUACACACUCUUACAGGAGACACACACAAAGACUAGAUGCCUUGGUAGAAGGCUACUCUCAGCAGGAAGUAUAGGGCUUUCUAGGAUGUUCAAAACGUUUUCAUACUUACAAUUCAUAUACAUACAAAUACUUACAUUUCAAAUACAUACAAAUACUUACAUACAAAUUAAGACACUAAAAUACUUAUGAUCUCACCAGCUUUAAAGCUGAUACUCUCUUUCAAAAUAACUUGUAUCCUCAGGUCAACAGUAGACAGGUACAAAUGCAAGGUUUAGAGAAGAUGGAGCUCGUUCAAGACUCAUCUUUCAUUUUGUUUUAUACUUUAGUGUCUAUUAUAAUUUGACAGAACACACUUGUAUUAAGAAUUAUAUUAUUAAUGCAAUGGAUGAUGUUGUUGCUUGUUUACUACUUUUCAUUGUUGUGAUACUGUACAUGACGUCCCCCGCCCCAGAACGUUUCUGUCGUUCAUGGUUUUGGAGUGUGACAGAUUGGUAUCAGAGCAUUGUUUAUAGUGAAUUAAGUAUAUCAACCCAUAAAAGAUAUACAGACUAUAAAUACAAUGGGAUUAAAAAUAUUCUGACCAAGAGUUUAUACUUUAAAUAAUAAAAUAUUUAAUUAAGUAUACGUGCCUGCAUUUAUACUAAAAUCAGUGUCACUAGGAUAGUACAAAAGAAUUACGAUUGUUGGGCAACACAUGUGGACUUAGAGACAUAUAGUCAAAACUUGGAAGAAAUAGCUUGAUCAACUAUAUUAUCCGGGGGUUGACUAGCAUGUGCCUAAGUGUAGUUGUGUGGUUGCAACAAGUCUAAAGUCUUACCAACAAUACCACAAUGAGAACAGUAGAACAUAACAUUAAACUUAAAAUACUAUAGGAGUAUUUGGUGUUACUAUAAGUACUUUAUACUUGAGAACUAAAACGGGAUCUUCAUUACUAAGUUGAUAGUUGCUAAGUGGAUACACUAAAGUUAUAUGUAACUAGGAUGUUACAGACUUAGAAUAUGUGAAAAUUUUGCUUUACCCCUAUUCUAUGUGAAUUUGGAGUUAAGGUCACUUAUUCGAAGGCCUAUCCUGUUUCGAUUACAUAUAACUGGUAUGCACUUCACAAAUAGUGAUGUAACUAAUGAAGAUUUUCUAAAUAAUUAUCUAGAUAGUUCGUCUAAUAAUUAUUUUCUUACCCCAAUUCUCAGGUAGAUAACAUGGCUGGACUCCAUCCCCACGGCAAUCAGUACCUUCCGAACAAAGUCAUUGCUGGAGGGUUUGGAGAAGAACCAGAGAAUGAUCAUCCUAUCCCUUUGGAUGAUUACCAUGAUGAAGACCUUUCAGAUGGUGCUAACCCCGAACCCGAGGUUGAGAACCUACUCCAGGAAGCUCCUUUUCCAAUUCCUAAUCCGCGUCUGGCUUUUCAUGGCCCGAUGCCUGAGUGGGUGGAAUGCUUGGAAACAUGGAGCCAAGGACAAGAUCAGCCCAUGCCAUUUAAUGGUGACCGUAGCUUUUAUGAUCUGAGCAAUGGGGGCUUAGCAGAUAGAAUCUUGCCAAUCUUGGUCCGCAGAGUGGCCCGAAAUGAGAUUCAAGGCAGGACAGCCCUACAUCGGAUCACAGAAGUUGUCGCCGAUGCCAUAAUGCAUACCCUCUGCACCAUUCGUCUAGAAGAUGCUCGUGAGAGAUCUGAGAGACACCAUGAAACCCUUCUGCAAGCACUAGCUGAAUCACGAGCCGAAGUCAUAGAACUUCGAGUACGCCAAAGGGUGUACGAAAGACACCUACUUGAUGUGGAACGCCAACUGGAUGAACUGAGAGUUCACCAGAGGGAUGACCGUCGCCAGUAGUAGAUGCUUUACUUUAUCUUCCUUGUUAAAAAGGAAUUGUUUUCUGUCUAUGCCCGAUGUGGCAUUUUCUAUGAAAAGAUCUUGACUGUAAGUACUUUAGUUAGGCCUUUAUGCUGUCAAGAACUAUCUGUUGGAAUAGUGUCUAAGGCUGCAACUAUAUUAGGCAAGUAUUUGACCCGAUUGUGCAUGGUCCUUUUGGGUUGCCUUCACCAUAGCAACUUGAUAGGAUGAUUUAUUAUGAGAGAAUAAAUAUUAUUAAUAUAUUAUGAGAAUAAUAUAAGGAAUAAUAAUAUUGUUAUUUGAUUAAUAUAAGUCAUAGAUUAAUUAGUAUUAAUUUGGUGACUUAAAGAGAUUAAUUAAAUAAGAGGGUAUAAACUGUCAAUUGUUUGAUAGUUACACUUUGGGCUGUAAAUCCUUCUUGGAUAGAGGUUGGAUGAAUUCUAGGGCUUGGGAUAUCCUCAAAUUCGUCCAAGGCUUAUCUUUGGUAAGGAUUAGGAUUGCUUUAAGGAAAGAUUAUCCAACUAGGGUUUAAGGGUGAAACCCUAGGAGCCUUACAAGUAUAAAUAGACCCCUAGGGCAAGGGAAAUUGGCAUCUCUUCUAAAGAAAAGAAACCCUGGCCGAAUCUUCCCUCUCCUCUCUCUCUCACAAAUCAUCCUCCUUGCUAGUUGGUGUUUGUAAGCCAUUAGAGGAGUGACAAUUGUGACUCUAGAGCUCCAAGACAACAAGAUCAAACAAGAGAUUCAAAGGUAAACUUCUAGAUCUGAUUUUGUAUUGUUCUUAUACCUAAUUAGUCAUUAGAAGUCUUGGAUUCAAAGCAUGUUUAAUUAGAGAAACCUAGAUCCAAGCAUUAGGGUUUGCAUGUGCACAUAGGAAUGUUCAUAUGGCCAAAACCCAUCAGUGGUAUCAGAGCCUAGAUUGGUUUCUAUUAAAUUGUUGCUUGUUUGUUUGAAUCUUGCUUGCAAAAUUCGAAUUUUGUGUUUCUGAGUCAUGGACUCGGCGAGUCCCAUAGUGGACUCGGCGAGUUGGCCUGACUCGGCGAGUCCAGUUGGACACUCGGCGAGUCUGAGCGUCAGGAAGGGCCAAAUUCGGGAUUUUUUUAUAUUUAUCUUAUGGAAACUUGCCUUUAUCAUAUUAGAUCAACCCUAAUCCGAUUUUUUGAUAUAUAUGACUAUAAUCUUGAUCUAAUUAAAGAUAUUUAUCAAUUAAUAAAAUAUUUAAUUUCCUUAUGUGAUAAUUAAUUAAUUAUUUUGAUUAAAUUGGUAAAUUAUUAUGCAAGAAAUCUUAAAUAAAUCAAAUAUGGAUAAUUAUGGAAUUAAUUGUUAAUUAAGAUUAUUUGUUAUUUGAUCCUCCAUGUUUUAAAUGUUUAAAACUUGUCCUCAAGUUUUGAAAUUUAUGUUUUGUGAUUAAAAGUUUUAAUUUAGACAAUUUAAAUUUCAAACCCUAGAUUUUAAAAGUUUAAAAUACAACCCUAUACUAAUAUAAUAUUACAAGAUUAAUAUAUAUAUAUAUAUAACUAAAAUGCUAGUCUUACCGUUAGUAGGCCUCAUUCACGAAGCCGAUCUAUAAGGUGGGUAUAAGGUUGCGGCCUAUAAAAUGGCGCUUAAUGGGUGUACACUCACACCCACCGCUUGCUUGAUUGGUGGAGGGUCGUUAGCCGAACGGGUAGGAUAGGGCAACCUCAUCCUCUCAUUAAAAGUAUAAUAUGAAAUACAAAGUAACUACACGUUUUUAAAAAAAAAUUCCCAAUCCUAGUUACUUUAGGAAAAGUGAAUUGAUGCAAUCCCAUGAAAUUACACUUUGCACCCUUGCUAAGAAGUUAGUGGAGCGUGUGUGGUUUACCGGCACACUAAUUGGUUCUAAGCAAAGGUGGCAAAGGGUGAUUCAUUGUUUAUCAUAGUUCGAUGGAGCGUGUGUGGUUUACCGGCACAUCGAAUAGGUGAUCGUUACAAUGAAGGCACCAUGUGAAUUUGCAUGGUAAUUCACACCCGCUUUGUGAUCCUCGGUAUCCCAGUCACAAACAAGAGGGGCAUAUCGAGAUUUAAACAUGCCAUUGAAUAGUUUCAAUGAAUCUCAUCCGAACCUAGGAAUUCUCAAUACAUUUAGGACUUAUAGUUAGGUUUUUAUGGUGGAGAAUUAGUGAAUCGUCAUUCACUUACCUUCAAAUUAUUUGCAUGUUAGAUUACGGCAUCCCUUUUCUAAUAUGUAAAUAUUGUUGUUGGAUCCUAGCCCUAAUUUUUCUUAUUGGGUGAUAAUUAGGGAUUCAUAUUCUAAUCUAUCUUUGUCCUUUCUAUUUGUAGAUGUCGAACGCAAACAACGCUGCUGCUAGUUCUUUCACAUUGAUGAGCCUUUGUCAAAAGGUCACUUUCGAUGGGACGAACUUUAGCGAAUGGAUAAGAUACAUUCGCACCAUUGCUCGCUAUGAGGAUAAGGAGUAUGUCCUCGAUGAGAAGCUCGAGAAAAUCAACCCUGAAAUCGCUACUCCGGCUGAAAUGACCGCUUUUGAAACUCAUGAGCGCGAUGCAACGAAGGUACAUUGCAUCAUGAUAGCCACCAUGAACUCCGAAUUCCAAAAGUCCUAUGAGGACAUGUACCCGUACGAGAUGCAUCAAGACUUAUUGGAGAGAUACCACCAAAACGCGAGACAAGAGCGUUAUGAGAUUUUCACUAACAUGAUUUCCGCUAAGAUGGGUCAUGGAGAGUCUCUUACCGUGCACCUGCAAAAGAUGCAAAGGUAUGUCGACCGCCUUCGCAAGUUAAAUGUUGACUUUGGGGAAGACUUGGCGAUCGACAUGGUGCUUCACUCUUUGCCUCCGAUGUACAAUCAAUUUAGGAUGACCUACCACAUGAACAAAGAGGAGGUCACCCUAAGCAAACUCCAAGGUCUCUUGAGGGUCGCUGAGAGCAACUUCAAGGACAAGUCUGUUGCACCAACUCCCAAUCCGCCCGCUGCUCCUGUCUUGGCUAUUGGACAAGGAAAGGGAAAGAAGAGGAAGGCUUCGUCUAAGAACUAUCGCAAGGUUAAAGCCCGAGAUGGUGCCUCUUCUAGUGGGACCAAAGUUGAUCCUGCUAAGCCCUGCCCUAACCCAAAGGAGGCAGAGUGCCACCACUGCCACAAGAUAGGACAUUGGAAGAGAAGCUGCCCAGAGUACCUGCAAGCCAUCAAGGAAGGAAAGAUCAAGCCGUCUUUCGCAGGUAUAUACACAAUUAAAUCUAACGAUUCUAAUCAUGCUAUUUCUUGGGUUCUUGAUACCGGUUGUGGUUACCACAUUUGUUCUAAUGUGCAGGGACUAAGAAGAAGUAGGGAUGUGGAGCAAGGAAGGAUCAAUCUAAUCAUGGGGAACAGAAGAUCGUCGCCUGUGACCAAGAUUGGAGUGUAUUCUUUAGUGCUUAGGAAUAGUUUAGUUUUAGAUUUGAACAAUUGUUGCUAUUCGCCAGAAAUGGCUAGAAACAUCAUUUCAUUUCAUGGUUUAUAUAGACAAGGAUUUAGAUUUUCUUUUAAUAAUGAGAAUGGUUCUAUUUUGGCUUAUCUAAAUGGUGUCUUUUACUUUGAAGCUAUACCAUGUAAUGGAAUAUAUGAAACUGUUAUGAUUGUUGAUAACUUAGGAAAUGAUGUUUUGAAUAUUGAUUCUUCCACUAGUAUGGAUAAAGCAUCCUUGUGGCAUUGUCGUCUUGGACAUGUCAACAAGAAACGCAUAGCCCAACUCCAAAAGGAUGGAGUGUUGGAGUCAUUCGACCUUAGGGAAGAUGACACAUGCGAGUCUUGUUUGCUUGGAAAGAUGACUAAGUCACCCUUCACGAGUACAUGUGAAAGGGGCGAGGGUCUAUUGGACCUAAUACAUACCGAUGUAUGUGGACCGUUUAGAUCAACCACGAAGGAUGGGAACCGCUUCUAUGUGACUUUUACCGAUGACUAUAGUAGAUAUGGGUAUAUCUACUUAAUCAAGCAAAAGUCAGACACCUUUGAAAAGUUCAAAGAGUUCAAGAAUGAAGUGGAGAAUCAAUUGGGCAGGAAAAUCAAGAUGCUUCGAUCCGAUCGAGGAGGAGAGUACCUAAGUCUUGAAUUCCACGAUUAUCUCAAGGAGUGUGGAAUAGUUUCACAAUUGACGCCUCCUAGGACACCGCAGUUGAAUGGUGUGGCAGAAAGGCGUAAUCGAACCUUAUUGGAUAUGGUUCGCUCUAUGAUGAGUCGUGCUUCACUACCUAUCUCUUUUUGGGGGUAUGCCUUAGAGACUGCCGCCCAUAUCCUUAACCGAGUCCCUACUAAGAAGGUUGCCAAAACACCUCACGAGAUGUGGACAGGGAAAGCUCCCUCGUUGGCACAUAUCAAGGUUUGGGGUUGCGAGGCUUUCGUAAGACGAGAUACUCACGACAAGCUUGAACCUCGAAGUGAGCGAUGUAUUUUCAUCGGCUACCCGCAGACAUCCUUUGGAUAUCUCUUCUAUAGACCGAAGGACAAUGUUGUCUUCGUUGCGAGGAGAGGAGUUUUCCGAGAGCGAGAACUCAUAAGCCAAGGAGACAGUGGGAGGCAAAUCGAACUUGAAGAGAUUCAAGAGUCGAUAGAUGAAGGAACCUCUACCGCUGGCACUCAACCCGAGGAGGAAACUCCGGUUGAACCGAUUGACGAAUCCUUACCUCUUAGACGUUCCGAUAGAGUUAGAGUUCUUCCCCAGUUUUAUGGUUUUCAUAUUACUACCGAAGGGGACACGUAUAUUAGUGAUGGUACACUAGUAAAUCUUGAUGAACCUAAUAGCUAUAAGGAAGCCAUGGCAGGCCCGGAGUCUGCAAAAUGGAAAGAGGCAAUGGAUAGCGAGAUCCAAUCCAUGUAUGAUAACCAAGUUUGGAAUUUGGUUGAUUAUGUGCCCGGACGUAAGACCGUUGGGUGCAAAUGGAUCUUCAAGAAGAAGACCGACGUGGAUGGAAACGUACACACAUAUAAAGCGCGAUUGGUUGCGAAGGGCUUUACUCAAACUCCCGGAGUUGACUAUGAUGAGACCUUCUCACCAGUUGCGAAGAUUAAAUCUAUUAGAGUGAUGCUAGCUAUUGCCGCAUUUCAUGAUUAUGAGAUUUGGCAAAUGGAUGUCAAGACCGCUUUCCUUAACGGAAAGUUGGCUGAGGAUGUUUACAUGGCUCAGCCAGAGGGGUUUGUGGAUCCGAAGCAUCCGGAUAGAGUGUGUAAGCUUGAGAAGUCCAUUUAUGGACUUAAGCAAGCGUCUCGCAGAUGGAAUCUUUGCUUCGAUGAGAAAGUCAAAGAGUUUGGAUUUGUACGAAGCGAAGACGAAUCUUGUGUAUAUGUCAAAGCCAGUGGGAGUAUAGUAAGCUUCCUCGUUCUAUAUGUCGAUGACAUAUUACUCAUAGGAAACGACAUCCCGACUCUGCAGGAGGUUAAGUCCUGGCUCGGGAAGUGCUUCGCUAUGAAGGACCUCGGAGAGGCUUCUUACAUUUUGGGAAUAAGGAUAGUAAGAGAAAGAAGUAAGAGACUAAUUGGACUUAGUCAGAAUACUUACUUAGAGAAGGUACUAAAACGUUUUAGUAUGGAAAACUCAAAGAAGGGAGAACUACCGAUACAAAGUAAUGCCAAAUUGAGUAAGACUCAAAGUCCGAGUACCGAAGCUGAGAUAGCAGAAAUGAGCCGAGUACCAUACGCUUCCGCAGUUGGCUCAAUCAUGUACGCUAUGACUUGUACUCGCCCUGAUGUAGCCUUCGCUUUGAGCAUGGUUAGCAGAUAUCAAGGGAAUCCUGGCAAAGCACAUUGGAUUGCGGUGAAGAAUAUCCUUAAGUACCUUCGGAGGACGAAGGAAUGGUUCUUAGUCCUCGGAGGGAGUGAUGACUUGAAGGUGCGAGGGUAUAGUGACGCCAGUUUUCAGACCGACAGGGACAACUACCGUUCGCAGUCGGGCUGGGUCUUUACCCUAAAUGGAGGAGCAGUGACAUGGAAGAGUUCCAAGCAGGAAACCGUAGCUGAUUCAACGUGCGAAUCAGAGUACAUUGCAGCGAGCGAAGCGUCGAAGGAGGCAAUAUGGCUAAAGAACUUCAUCGGUGAUCUUGGAGUUGUACCUGCCAUAAAGGAGCCCAUGGAGAUAUUCUGUGAUAAUGAAGGAGCGGUUGCCUUGACCAAGGAACCGAGGGAUCAUGGUAGAUCAAGACAUAUCGACAGAAAAUAUCACUUUAUUAGACAUCGUGUAGAAGAAGGACAACUCGUAGUGAAGAGGAUAUCAUCAGAAGAUAACCCAGCAGAUCCGCUUACGAAGGGACUGAGUAGGGUUAAGCACUUGCAGCAUGCUAGGAGUAUUGGGCUGAAAUGAAGGAUGAUAUUAGCAUAUAUUCGAUAGUAUUAGAGUAAUAGAUAAAUGUAAUUAACAUUUGAUGAUUAAAUAAAGGAGUUUUAUUUAUGAGUAAUGUUACUGUCUUAUGUUAAUUGUUUAACUAUUGUUUCAUUUUGCAUGUUUUGACUUCCAGAAUAAUUGAGUUUAUUAAGAAUAAUCGAAUUAUUCAAAUUGUCCACAAUCGUUCAUAUGUUGGAAGUAGAUAUGAAUGAAGAUUGUCGUGAAUUGGUGCGUAGAAUUGUAUAAAUGGUAUUAGACAUAGCAAAAGCUUGUUGUGACGUUCAUGAGUGCUUAUGAACUGGUUUUGAGCAUUGGAACAAACCCGUGCUUGCUGGAAUCACCUUAUGGAAUAUGAUGUAAAAGGAUGAUCGCAAGACGAUAAUAUCAUAUAGUCUUAAAACCUAGAUAUAUGGUUUGUUAUUUGUUAAUUGAUUGUACAUUGAUAAUGCGAAAACGCAUCAGUAACUCGGUGUUAUAAAACGCAUUGUUGUGUAUAGUUGGUUAAUGAAUAAGUAAAUGCAUAUAAGUCGAAGUUUAUCUGUAACUUUUACCUAAGAAGGUAAAAGCGAUAUCUCGGCCGCUCGAUGAUUUGAUUUGACUUAUGUGCCGGGCCCGGUCAGAACUGAAUUGAUGUGUUCGAUUAAGUUCUAUGUCAAAUAAAUCAGAGAUCGAGAAACCUAAAUGCUUGACUAAUUAUUCCAUAGAAUUGUCAGCAUGAUAUCUAACAGAGGACUGUACGAUCCCUUAUCUAAAGGACAAGAUUGAUUAGAUCAGAGUUUGACAGCGUCUUUGAGAGCUACGAUUGCAAAUCGAAUUGUACUUGUGCAUAUAGUUACUAGACUUAUCCAAGUGGGAGACUGUUGGAAUAGUGUCUAAGGCUGCAACUAUAUUAGGCAAGUAUUUGACCCGAUUGUGCAUGGUCCUUUUGGGUUGCCUUCACCAUAGCAACUUGAUAGGAUGAUUUAUUAUGAGAGAAUAAAUAUUAUUAAUAUAUUAUGAGAAUAAUAUAAGGAAUAAUAAUAUU